This 53488-nucleotide long non-coding RNA is filed under the name Vitis vinifera (wine grape). RNAcentral's name for it is "long non-coding RNA (VVIN_LNC006438)". Lineage: Eukaryota; Viridiplantae; Streptophyta; Magnoliopsida; Vitales; Vitaceae. The record is from RNAcentral.
GGUGCUAGAUGUGUCAGGCCAGGUUAAGCGUCUGAAUUGUCAUGAAGGCGCACAUGAAUGGGAUUUAUUUUGGCUUCAACCAAAAACACAGUGUGAGGUUUAUGCUUACUGUGGGCCUUUCGGAACCUGCACUGGGGAUUCUGUUGAAUUUUGUGAAUGCUUGCCAGGUUUUGAACCUCUCUUCCCUGAAGACUGGAAUCUGCAAGACAGAUCUGGAGGGUGUGUGAGGAAAGCAGAUUUGCAGUGUGUCAAUGAAAGCCAUGCUAAUGGGGAGCGAGACCAGUUUCUUUUGGUGUCUAACGUGAGACUGCCCAAGUAUCCAGUAACACUGCAAGCAAGGAGUGCUAUGGAGUGCGAAUCAAUUUGCCUGAAUCGCUGCUCUUGCUCUGCUUAUGCUUAUGAGGGAGAGUGUAGAAUAUGGGGUGGAGAUCUUGUAAACGUGGAGCAGCUACCAGAUGGUGAAAGUAAUGCUAGAAGUUUCUAUAUCAAACUUGCUGCCUCUGAGCUAAAUAAGAGAGGUAAGAAAAAAGAGUCAUAGUUGUUAUUGUAGGAGGACAUAAAGCAUAUGGGUCUUGUUUUAUUUUCAAAAUAAAAUGGCCAUCGAUUCAGCUAAAUUUAAUAUGAUAUAUUUCCUUCUACAGUUUCAAGCAGCAAGUGGAAGGUAUGGCUAAUUAUUACACUGGCCAUAUCUUUAACUUCAGCCUUUGUCAUUUAUGGGAUAUGGGGAAGGUUCCGAAGAAAAGGUCAGUAUUUCUCAAGGACAGACGGAUGGCCAAGCGAUUCAACCGUUUUUAGGUUCCAUCUACAAAUAAAAAACCAGUUCUUUUCUGAAAUGAGUUCAUUAGCACUGUUAUUGAAUGGUUAAGGUAACAUUAGGAUUUCAUGUUCUGAUUACAUGUGAGUGUGUAUGUGGAAUCCAAUGUGAGAAAUAAUUUAUUCCCAUGCCAGAAUUCCUACAUUCAUAUGAUAUUUAUUGUCUGUUUGUUCUUUACCAAGCAGGGGAAGAUUUGUUAGUAUUUGAUUUCGGUAACAGCUCAGAAGAUACCAGCUAUGAACUUGGCGAGACAAAUAGACUUUGGAGGGGCGAGAAGAAGGAAGUUGAUUUGCCCAUGUUCAGUUUUGCGAGUGUAUCUGCUUCUACAAAUAACUUCUCUAUUGAAAAUAAACUAGGAGAGGGCGGUUUUGGAUCUGUUUACAAGGUGAGAUUACAACCCUUGACAAUAAUGUUCUACAAUUUGUCCUGGAGUGUGAAGGCCCACUUGAUAUAUACCAAAUUUCUUUUACUUGGUGUAAUUGUAGUCACAUGAAAUUCCCAUGACAGGGAAAGUUACAAAGAGGAUAUGAGGUAGCUGUGAAAAGGCUCUCAAAAAGAUCUAAACAGGGAUGGGAGGAGUUAAAAAAUGAAGCCAUGCUUAUAGCCAAGCUGCAACACAAGAAUCUUGUGAAAGUUUUGGGAUACUGCAUCGAGCGGGAUGAGAAGAUAUUGAUUUAUGAGUAUAUGUCCAACAAAAGCUUGGAUUUCUUCCUCUUUGGUUUGUAACUUCCACAUAGAUAUGCUUCCAGCUACUGUAUAUUCAAUGAGAACUUUACACAUUCAUCAUUCUUCACCACUUAUUUGCUAACAUCUAUUUAUUUGGUGUGAAAUGGAAAUAGAUCCUGCAAAACGUGGGAUUCUGAAUUGGGAGAUGCGAGUUCGCAUCAUUGAAGGGGUUGCUCAGGGACUUCUUUAUCUCCAUCAGUACUCCAGAUUGAGAGUUAUUCAUCGAGAUUUGAAGGCUAGCAACAUUCUUCUGGAUAAAGACAUGAACCCAAAAAUAUCAGAUUUUGGAAUGGCAAGAAUUUUUGGAGGAAAUGAAUCAAAAGCAACAAAACAUAUAGUUGGGACUUAGUAAGUGAAUCCUAACGCAUUGUAAAAUAUGUGGAUUGUCUCACAACAUGCUUUUUUUCUACAUGUAUAUUUGUAAUCAUGCAAUUACUAAAUGAAUUGUUUUAAUAAUGAAUCCAGUGGCUACAUGUCCCCCGAGUAUGUUUUGCGAGGUCUCUUUUCAACUAAAUCUGAUGUUUUUAGCUUCGGGGUCUUGUUACUAGAGAUUCUAAGUGGCAAGAAGAUUACUGAAUUUUAUCAUAGUGGCUCGCUCAAUCUUCUUGGAUAUGUAAGUAACACAAUUUUCCUCUUAUGUAGCUAAAGUUAUCAUGUUUACUACUAUAUUUCAAGCUUGAAGUUACACACUUGAAUGCAAUUGACCGAAUUAGGACUAUAUAUCUUUUUUUCUUUUUUCGGGAAUGUGCAUCAAAGUAUAAUUUUCUUUCCUUUAGGCAUGGGAUCUGUGGAAAAACAACAAAGGACAGGAGUUGAUUGAUCCAGUAUUGAAUGAGAUAUCUUUGAGACAUAUUAUGUUAAGGUACAUCAAUGUAGCCCUUCUUUGUGUUCAAGAAAGUGCAGAUGAUAGGCCCACCAUGUUCGAUGUUGUCUCCAUGCUUGUCAAGGAAAAUGUACUUUUAUCUUCUCCAAAUGAGCCAGCCUUCUCAAAUCUAUCGAGUAUGAAACCACAUGCAUCUCAAGAUAGGCUUGAAAUUUGUUCCUUAAAUGAUGUAACACUUUCAAGCAUGGGAGCACGAUAAGUUUUCUAAAUUUCAGAUUGCAUAUGCUUAAAUGUCUUCAGCAUAUUGUCUAGUAUUAUUAUUGGCCAUCAAGUUGAUUGUUGAUGUACUGAACGUGUGAACUUUUGUAUGUAUUUUUCUUUCAAUGCAGUUCAAUAAUGUGCUUAAUUUUACUCAAUCCUCAAGGAUUCAGACCUGUAUCUCAUCUUCCCAUCUGUAAUUGCUACUGAAUCUGUUGGUUUUGAAACUAGAUAAUUAAAAGAAAAACGGAAGCCAGAAAAUUUUUCUCAAAAUUUAAUGAAAUAACAAAUAUAGGUAAUUUAGAAUUGUACCUUGCGAUUAGGCUGAUAAAUUUGAACUCCACCUAAAGGAUCUUAGAAUUCCAAAUCCUCUAAAGCACCAUGGAUCUUUCUCUAACGUUCUCCAAAAAAUGAUGAACUCAAAACGAGUGGGCGUUUAUUAUCUUUGGGUUUUUUUUUAUAUCACACAACUUAAUAUAUUGAAAACUUGUAUUCUCACCCAUCAUCCGAAAAACAUUGAGAAAAAAAAAACUUUUUAAUACCACGAAGAAAAAAAUGACAUAUUUUGAAUUUUGAAAAACAUGGGAGAGAAUAUCUCUCCCCAUGAUCCCCACUUAAAAAGUGUUUCUUUGAAUUUUGAAAAACAUGGGAGAGAAUAUCUCUCCCCAUGAUCCUCACUUAAAAAGUGUUUCUUAGGGAAUACAAGUAAGUGUGGUCUUCACUACAUUGUAUCAAAAAUUAUUUUAAAUAAUCAAAUUAUAAAAUAAAUAAAUCAAAUCAAGAUUGUGUGAAAUUAAUUUAGAAUUCAAAAUUCCAAACUAAUAAAAUCAACCCAACAUAAAAAAAAAUGUUCAUAUAAUUUUAAUGGAGCCGUUGAGAGGAACUAUGGACAUUAUAAUUUUAAGCUCCAAUAAUUUUGACAAUUAAUUAACAACUUAAUUAAAAAAUCAAAAUUAUUAAUUCCAAAAUUACUCCACUAAAAAUUUGGAAUUGCACUCUUAAAAUUAUAAAAUUAAAUAUAUUCAAAGGAUUUGAAUUGCCCAUUAAUAUAGUUACUACAUAUGAGUCAAUCCUCCAUAAACGGUUCAUAAUUAAAGCUAGGUUUUUCCGUUAACCUCUUUAAUUAUAUCUUUCUCCUUAAGUGCCAUUGGUUCUCUAAUGAAUAAUAUAUUUAUGGUCUAAUCAUAAAUUGAGCGCUCUUAUCAUUCAAGGCCCGAACCAAUACUUAUGGUAACCGUCCAUCUGACUUCUUAACGAAGGAAUGAAUUUCAUCUUGUAUAUUAAUAUUCCCGGCUAUUUAUUUUAUUAUACUUCCAAUACACCAAUAAUUUGACACUAUGUAUUUGUGUCAUUACCCGAUAUGUAAAAAAAUACAAUACAAUAAAUAGGAGUCUAUUAAUCACUCAGAAUUAAGAUCAAUGCAUAUAUGACCAUCAUUGAUUAAUAUUGAAUGCUCUAUAUUAUAACGGAAUUUAUUAGAGAUUCAUAAUUAAUCGUGUUCCAGUCCUAUAUAAUCAAAUUAUAUAAAACGCUUUCAUUCCAAUAAUCUCAUUAUUAACAAUCCGGAUAAGAUCAUUUCAUUCAUAAUGUAAUGAACCACGCUAGUAAUUUUAAAUUAAAGAUCCCAACUUUAAUUUUUAAUUACGAACAUAUUAGAUUAUUUUACUUUAAAUGUUAUCCUCCUGUAUAUAACACUUAUAUACAAUAUUUAAAGUUACAAUUAAAUAAUCUAGGGUUUUCGAUAUUUAUAAAGCAUCUAUAACAUGCAUGCAACAAUAAUAUUGAAAUAAUUCCUUAAAAAAAUAUUAAUAAUCAGCAAAAUAAAAAACAUCUCAUUUGUUUAUGGGCACAUAUUCCAACAAAAUCUGCUUUUAUGCAUUGCCAAUCCAGACACUAAAAUACAACCCUCAGAGCUUACUGCAAAUAUUCAACUAGUACUAGGAAAGACGAGCUUUUGCGCAUGAUAUAGCUAAGCAUAAGUACUAAUUAACAUAUAGGCAAGAGGGAAAGUGAGGAAGGAAAGCAGAUAUAGAUUUUUUUGCCUUUUAAACUGUGAUAGCAUCUAGCAUUUUUUUUAAGAGAAGAAAUAGUAUAAUUUAAUUGAGUACUCGUAAAACCUUCUUUUCUUAUUGGACAUGGUUUCAAUAAAACCCAUUUGGUUGCCAAGAAAUCUGAGGAAAUUCCCUUAAUUCUAAGGGUUCAAGAACAAGCCGAGUCCAGCACGACUCGGCCGAGUCGUAUAAACUCAUACUCAAUCAGGAAUCGCUUAAACUCGGUUAACUCAACGGAGAUUCCGAGUUGACUCGGUUGAACCGUUUGUGUUAACAAAAGAAAUCGUUUUUUCACUUUCGAAUCACAGCAGAGGAACAACAAACGAGAUGUAAACCUAAAAAACCUCUCAAAAAUCAAAGAUUGUCUUCAAAAGGAAAAGCUUCUCAACAACCAUGAUGAAGAGGAAGAAAGGCAUCAGUCUAAACCAUGACCGAGUCUUGGAGGUGCACAAGAAGAAGAGGUUGAGGUAUUACUAACUUCAGAACGAUCAUGGAUGUGGAGCGCCUUCGAUGGUCCCGGUGUGGUAACUGGUGUGAUGAGAAGAUUCCCUCCAUUGACGUGAGCGGCCAUCGCUGCAUCUGGUCUCUCCUCUCUCUAAUUUUGGUCUCAGUUCUCGCCUGCUUCUGUCUGCCUUCCUCCCUCUCUCUCUCUCUCUCUCUUUCUCCCUAGUACGGGUGAGUUAGUGAUUUGAAGAAAGGGUGGCAAUCGGUGCCAGAAAAUUGGGGAUUUGAAGACAGGGUGGUCAAUGUUUUAAUAUCACAAUUAUUUAUAAUUGUAUAUGUUAAUAUUAGGUAAUAUAUUAUCAAAUUUUAUAGUCUUUGUUUUUUUUAUGAUAAUAAUUUAUUAUUUUAUAUAUUAAUGGUGUGAUAUAAAUUAUAUUAGCUUAAGUAAAGUAUUAUUUUAUAUGGCAAUGAUAGCAUAUUUGAUGUAUUAAUUUAUUAUUAACAAUAUAUUCAAGUCAUUUAAUAUAUUAUUAUAUUAACAUAUUAAAAUCAUUUAAUUAAUAAUAUAUACUUUGUUUAAUAAAUAUAAUUUUAUAUUAUAUUUAAACAUAAAGUGUUGUAAUCAUUUAAUCAAAAUUAAAAAUAAAAUUAAUGAUUGAAUUAUAUGUCUUUUAGUAAAAAUAUCAUUAUAGUUGAAAUAAAAUAAUUUUCAAUUCCUAACAUUAUCAUAAAUUGUUUUUGUGGAGACUUUAUAACUAUUUAAAUAAUAUUAAAUGUGAAAAAAUUUAUUUUAUAAUUUUUAAGCUUAUUUAAUUAUAUUUGUUUUUGUAAAAAAUUUCAAAAUUUUUUUCUAAUUUAAAAAUUUUUUAGUUAUCUUAUUUUGCAUACCACUUGAUACCAAAUCGAGAUGUUGAGACCGUUAUGCCUUGGGACCCUCCAAAUUAAUGAUUGAUAUCGUCACUUCAAUUAUAUGAAUAUAAAAAAUAAAUAUGUAAAGAAAUACCAUAAGACAUAAUAAUAGUAUUUUAAAAUAUUUUUAGCAUAUUGAUAUAAAUAUAUAUAUAUAUAUAUAAUUAUUUAAUAGUUAUUACUUAUAUUUAAUGGUUUAAAAUAUUUUUUAGUUUUUAAUUAGUAUAUUUUUUGUAUCAAUCAAUAUCGCUUUGACAUCUUAGAUUUAAAUAAUGAAAAUAGUAUCAAUUUUUCAAAAAAAAAGAAAGAAAAAGGAAAUGAUCUUUUAAGGUUAAAGUAUUAAUCUUUAGGUUUAGAUGUUCCCAAACCUUCAAUUCUAAGUGUUGAAGACGACUUCGAAGUUGUUGGAAGUCUUGUAAAUCUACGAUUUUCUAUCUGAUGAUUUGAACCUUGAUCUUAAUGCACUUUUAGUGGAGAUCGAUGGAAGAAAGGGUGGAAACUAUGAGUCUUUCUCUUUGAAGGUGGAAGAUGACUUUCUACAAAAAGUUAUGGAAACUUUAACCCCAAGAUCGAUGUACCUUAAAACCUUUCAAGUCAAUGACCCAUACCGUAACUUUCAACCAUAAGAUGGACACUAAAAAAAAAAAGAAUUAGAGUUGGAUUUGAACACAAACAUCUUUCAAAGAAGAGAAUGUACCUAUCAUUAUGGAAAAUUAUUAUUAAAUUUGGGUGGCAAAAUAUAUCUCCUAUAUUUUAACCCCUACCAUAAGUGACUUUGUGUAAGCGUAAAAAGAAGAACUAUAGAAAAGAUGCCUUAGGUAUUUGCUGAUUAUGAACUAUAUCUAGUAAAAGAUCAUACACGAUGUCCGAAAAACUAUAGAAGAAGAUAAAUCUUGAAGGGAAGAUCAAUGGAAAUGGGUCUAUGACUCGCCACUCCAUGAUUUAUGGGCUGCUUAAACUCUGAUGAUGGGUUAUGGGUAGCAUGAAAAUUUCAGCCAGAGGGUGGUCUGUCAAUCUUGCUUGUUUCUUCAUGUUUUCACUUGGAAUUUGCUAAUGCAUUUAUAGACACAAUCUUACAAGGUCAGUCAAUCACAACUUCUCAAACCAUCGUAUCUGUUGGUGGUGACUUUGAAUUAGGAUUCUUUUCUCUUGGAAACUCCACAAAAUACUAUGUGGGGAUAUGGUACAAGAAAGUGUCAGAGCAAACCAUUGUGUGGGUAGCUAACCGAGGUUAUUCAUUCACAAAUCUAUAUGUGGUUCUUACUAUUAUCCCAGAUGGUAACCUCGAGAUUUGGGAAGGGAAAAUUUCAUACAAGGUGACAAACGUAUCAUUAAAUAGAAACACCGGUGCCACCCUGUUGGAUUCAGGAAAUUUUGUUUUGAGAAAUGAGAAGUCGAAUAUCUUAUGGUAGAGCUUUGACUAUCUAUUGGACAUGAUCUUGCCCAGAAUGAACAUUGGAUAUGACAGAAGGGCUGGAAAAACAUGGUCAUUGGUGUCAUGGAAGAGCACAGAAGAUCCUAGUCCAGGAGUUUUUAUUAGAGAAUUCAUUAUAAUAGAUUUUCUUAUUAGCUUUUUUCCUAUAAUGUGUGGCCAUAUACAAUUAUAUUUGUAUGAAUAUUAUUUAAGGGUAUCAAUUGAUCGGUAGGUGAAUCAAUUGAUUGGGUAUCUAAGAGUCUUAUGUAUGGAAGACUCAAAUUUAUAAAUAGGGAGUUAGAAAAUUUAACUCAUAUGAAUGUGGUGUUACAACUUUUGUAACCCCAUCAUUAUGAAAUUUAUUUGUACAUUAUGUUUAUGAGUAAUAGAGGAAAAUGGAAAAGUAUAACCUAUGCAAUUAUAUAGAUGCAUUCAAGUUCAUACCCCACCAUUACCCAUUAAUUUGUACAUAAUGGGUGUAAAUAAUGAGUAUAACUCCCAUAUAGUCUUUGAUGGGAAGACUAAGAGAUGUAUAAUUUUUUUUAUAAAUUGAGGUCCUAAGCCACACUCUCAUUCUUAUGUCUUUUUGUUGGUUUAUUUUUAACAACAUACACCACACAAGUGACCCAUCCACUAUAUGAGAGUAGUGAGUCGAAGACCUUGCCAAUCCAAUUCACAAGGUAACUCAAUCUCACUUCAAAAGUGUUAUUGAUAUCAUGAAUCAAGGUAAGAAUAUGAUCAUUAUUUGAAUACUUAUAUAUAUAUAUUUUUUUUAUGCAUCCAAAAUGGUUUUAUAAAAUAAUAAUUUCCACAUAAAGUUUAUAAAAGUUUGGUUGACAUUUCUUUCUAUUUUUAAAUUCUUCUAAUUAGUUGUAAUUUCCUAUUUUUUUUUGUAAUAUCCUAAUUUUAGGAUUGUUUCUUAUUUUUGUAUUUUGGGUAGAUUGUUUCCUAUUUUUGUGUUUUAGGUUUUGUGUAUAUAUAUUCAUUCUUAAUCAAUGGAAAAGUCAAGCCAUUGUUUCUCAAUAAUCUUCUACUUCAACAUGGUAUCAAGAGCCUAAUUUUCUUUGGUGUAUUUUCUUCCUUUUUUUUUUCCCUUUUCCUUAAUGGCUUCCAGUGCAUCCUUCUCUUCCACCAACAAUCCUAUCACCAUCCAAAACUCUCAAGAUCCUCAAAAUCCUCUCCUUACAAUCAAUCUCUCCAAUAUCACCAAAUUGUCAUCCAUCAAUUAUCUCACAGGGAGCCUUCAAAUCCAAUCCUUCUUGAAGGUUAUAAUCUUCAUCACUUCAUUGAUGGCGCUCAUACUCCACCACCACCCACCGUCACCGUCACCAUCACUUGUGUUGCAUCCCCAAAUCUAGUAUACACAACCUGGAAGCGUCAGGAUCGUCUCAUCUUUAACGCUCUCCUUGGUGCUAUCUUCGUUUCACUACAACCGCUUAUUGUCUGCACCACCACUUCCCUUGAUGCAUGGCAAACCUUAGUUAAUACCUAUGCCAAACCCUUGAUAAUUUUCUCUCCACCAAUGGUAUAUCCCAUCUUACUACACCACAUACACCUGGACACAAUGGCCUUUCCGAAUGACGUCAUUGUCAUAUUGUUGAAACCGGUCUAUUUCUUCUCACUUAUGCAUCGAUAUCUCUAACUUAUUGGACUUACGCCUUUGCCACUAUUGUAUAUCUCAUCAACUGUAUGCCCACACCCACACUAUAUCUCUCAUCUCCUUUUGACCAACUCUUUGAGUCUCCACCCAACUACACUAAACUUUGGGUGUUUGGUUGCUUAUGUUAUUCGUGGCUUUGUCCUUAUUCUCAACAUAAACUUAACUCUCGUUUCACUUCUUGUGUUUUUCUUGGUUACUCUUCCUACACCACCUAUUAUAUAUUGUGACAAUGUUGGUGCCACCUAUCUCUAUUCUAAUCUAGUCUUUCAUUCGCGCAUGAAACAUGUGGCAAUUGACUAUCACUUUAUUCGGGAUCAAGUUCAAUUAUGUGUUCUUCGUGUUACUCAUGUUUCCUCAACAGAUCAACUUGUCGACGCUCUUACUCAACCGCUUCCACAAAGCUUCUUCCAAGAAUUACGGGUCAAGAUUGGCGUCUCCUCCAGAGCUCUAUCUUGAGGGGGCAUAUUAGAGAAUUUAUUACAAUAGAUUUUCUUUCUAUUUUUAAAUUCUUCUAAUUAGUUGUAAUUUCCUAUUUUUGUUGUAAUCCCCUAAUUUUAGGAUUGUUUCCUAUCUUUGUGUUUUGGGCUAAUUCUAGGAUUGUUUCUUAUUUUUGUGUUUUGAGUAGAUUGUUUCUUAUUUUUGUUGGAAUAUGUGCCCAUAAACAAAUGAGAUGUUUUUUAUUUUGCUGAUUAUUAAUAUUUUUUAAGGAAUUAUUUCAAUAUUAUUGUUGCAUGCAUGUUAUAGAUGCUUUAUAAAUAUCGAAAACCCUAGAUUAUUUAAUUGAAACUUUAAAUAUUGUAUAUAAGUGUUAUAUACAAGAGGAUAAUAUUUAAAGUAAAAUAAUCUAAUAUGUUCGUAAUUAAAAAUUAAAGUUGGGAUCUUUAAUUUAAAAUUACUAGCGCGGUUCAUUACAUUCUGAAUGAAAUGAUCUUAUCCGGAUUGUUAAUAAUGAGAUUAUUGGAAUGAAAGCGCUUUAUAUAAUUUGAUUAUAUAGGACUGGAACACGAUUAAUUAUGAAUCUCUGAUAAAUUCCGUUAUAAUAUAGAGCAUUCAAUAUUAAUCAAUGAUGGUCAUAUAUGCAUUGAUCUUAAUUCUGAGUGAUUAAUAGACUCCUAUUUAUUCUAUUGUAUUUUUUGACAUACCGGGUAAUGACACAAAUACAUAGUGUCAAAUUCUUGGUGUAUUGGAAGUAUAAUAAAAUAAAUAGCCGGGAAUAUUAAUAUACAAGAUGAAAUCCAUUCCUUCGUUAAGAAGUCAGAUGGACAGUUCCCAUAAGUAUUGGUUCGGGCCUUGAAUGAUAAGAACGCUCAAUUUAUGAUUAGACCAUAAAUAUAUUAUUCAUUAGAGAACCAAUGGCACUUAAGGAGAAAGAUAUAAUUAAAGAGGUUAACGGAAAAACCUAGCUUUAAUUAUGAACCGUUUAUGGAGGAUUGACUCAUAUGUAGUGACUAUAUCAAUGGGCAAUUCAAAUCCUUUGAAUAUAUUUAAUUUUAUAAUUUUAAGAGUGCAAUUCCAAAUUUUUAGUGGAGUAAUUUUGGAAUUAAUAAUUUUGAUUUUUUAAUUAAGUUGUUAAUUAAUUGUCAAAAUUAUUGGAGCUUAAAAUUAUAAUGUCCAUAGUUCCUCUCAACGGCUCCAUUAAAAUUAUAUGAACAUUUUUUUAUGUUGGGUUGAUUUUAUUAGUUUGGAAUUUUAAAUUCUAAAUUAAUUUCACACAAUCUUGAUUUGAUUUAUUUAUUUUAUAAUUUGAUUAUUUAAAAUAUUUUUUGAUACAAUGUGGUGAAGACCACACUUACUUGUAUUCCCUAAGAAACACCUUUUGAGUGGGGAUCAUGGGGAGAGAUAUUCUCUCCCAUGUUUUUCAAAAUUCAAAGAAACACUUUUUAAGUGGGGAUCAUGGGGAGAGAUAUUCUCUCCCAUGUUUUUCAAAAUUCAAAACAUGUCAGUUAUUUUUUUUUUCUUCGUGGUAUUAAAAUUUUUUUUUUCUCAAUGUUUCUCGGAUGAUGGGAUGAGAAUACAAGUUUUCAAUAUAUAUUAAGUUGUGUGAGAAAAAAAAACAGAAGAAUGAAAAACGCCCACUCGUUUUGAGUUCAUCAUAAUUUGGAGAACGUUAGAGAAAGAUCCAUGGUGCUUUAGAGGAUUUGGAAUUCUAAGAUCCUUUUGGUGAAGUUCAAAUUUAUUAGCCUAAUCGCAAGGUACAAUUCUAAUUUACCUAUAUUUGUUAUUUCAUUAAAUUAAUACAAGUAUUGAUCAUUGAGAAAAAAUUUUGAGAAAAUUUUUUUGGUUUCCGUUUUUUUCUUUUAUUUAUCUGGUUUCAAAACCAACAAUUGGUAUCAGAGCAGGUUGAUACUCUGUAUUAAUUUAAUGAAUGAUUAUUUGAUAAUCUUUGCAUGGCUUUCGGUAGGCACUUUUGCAUAUUGAUGUUUGUUUAUUUUUAUGUUCAUGGUGAUGAAUGUUUGUGGGAAUGGAUUGGCCGUUUUUUUAUUGGUUCCAUGGAUUUUGUUAUUUUUGUAAUAAUUAUUUUAUUAGAUCUUUUGUAAAUAGGAUUCUUGCUGUAAUUCCUAUUUUAUAAGAUUUUUUGUAAAUAGGUUUACUGUUGUAAUUAUAAAUCGGUUUUGGGUUGAAUUUUAUUGAAUUUGAGAAAUUCAAUGGAGACAACCACAAUUCAAGGAAAUUUGAAUAUUAUUGAAUUUGAGAAAUUCAAUGGAGACAACCACAAUUCAAGGAAAUUUGAAUUUUAUUGAAUUUGAGAAAUUCAAUGGAGACCACCACUUUUCAAGGAGAAGAUGAAGAUGUAAAUUUACAGGAAGACCCAGUUUUAUUAUUUGUAUUUUUUUUAUUUGGGUUGUAUUUAACGUCCAUGGAACCCGACCAUUUCCAUUUUUAUAUUUAUAAAGUUGAUGAUUACUUUGUCCUGCAAGGGGUGGAGCCAGGGGAUUCAAACCCAUGAAGGAUGGGUAUUCCUUGCUAGUACCACCAGGCUAUGGCUUCUGGCUGGUUAUUUAUAUGAAGAAGGUUUAUUUCACGUUGCCCCUAAACUUUAUCCCUGGCUCCACCACAACCCUUGUUUUAGCAUGUCAUUUUAGUUAGAAAAGUGCCUACCUAUUUUUGCAUGUCAUGCAUUCAUGCGUUUAUUUUUAUUUUAUUUUAUAUAAUGUCACAGAUGACUUAAUUUAUAAUUUUAAAUUGUUUAAAAUAUAAAGGCUUAGUAAUUUAAAAUGUUUAAAUUGUCUAAGGUUUAUGAAACAAUAGUUGUUUUAUAAAUUAAAUACACCUUUUGCAAUAUAAUGAGUGGGAGCGGGUAAUAUUACAAUAUAAACCCUAGGUCUCCACCAUUAAUACAACACUGUGAGUUUUUAGUAGCGCUUAGAGACGCUUUGAUUUCGUCCUCCCUACGGAAAGUGUCUACUAAUUUCAAUAACAAGGUUGUCUUCCAUGAGAUAGGAUUUUAAGAUGUAUUUUAGAAUUGACCUACCCUACGACGGCAAUUUCUAAAUUAAAUCUUAAAAAUCUGAUAUGGUGGGUUACACUCAUAAAGAUAUAAUUAAAUUGGUUAAUUAUUUUCUUGACCGAACUUAAAGGAAAUUAAUAAGUAUUAGAAAUAUGAGAUAUUUUGGAUAAUAUUUAUUAAUUGAGAAAGUCUCAUUUUAAUUAGCAGCUUUUUGACCUACCCUACGGCGGCACUUAGUUGUGGUAAUUAAAAUUCCUUAGGCUGUUAAAGUAUAAUUUUUGGUGUAUUUUAUCAUGAGCAUUCUUGCUUCAUAUUUACUUUGCCUUUAAUUUUCUUAUGAUAUUUAUGCAAUUAUUUAUUGAAAAUAUUUCUUAUUUUUGUUCAGCAAAUAUGUCAAACCCAAUUUUCUCACUUCUCGCCUCUCAAGUUUUAACUGGUGAAAACUUUGUAAAAUGGAAGAGCAACAUGAACACUCUUCUCAUUAAUGAGAACUACCACUUUGUCCUUAAGGAGGAUUGUCCUCCAGUGCCUCCAGCUAAUGCCUCCAAGGCUGUCUCAGAAGAGUAUAAUCGUUGGAUUAUUGCAAAUAACAAGACCCGCUGCUACUUGUUAGCAGCAAUGAAUGAAGUGCUUAGAACUAAGCACGAGGGCCUUGAAACUGCAAGAGAGAUUAUGGAAUCUCUACAGCAGAUGUUUGGACGCCCCUCUGAGCAGGCCCGCCACGAAGCUGUGAAAGCUGUUAUGAACAGUAAAAUGAAGAAUGGUUCUUCAGUUCGUGAGCAUGUCCUUAAAAUGAUUCAUCACUUUAAUGAGGCUGAAAUCAAUGGAGCUAAAAUUGAUGAAAAGACCCAGGUUGGCAUGAUCUUAGAGACACUUUCACCCUCUUUCCUCCAAUUCAGGACAAACUACAUCAUGAACCAUAAGAAAUGUAAUUUGACAGAACUCCUGAAUGAGCUGCAAUCUUAUGAGACCCUUAUAGAUGAUAAGGGAGGCAAGGCAAAUAUUGUUGAGGCUAAUGCAGUUGUGGGAAAGGCUUCUUCUUCAAAGAAUAAGAAGAAGAGAAAUGUGAGAAAUCAAAAGGACAAGAAGAAGAUCCAAAAGAAGAAAGGGAAGGCUGUUGAGCCUAAACCUAAGGGGAAAUGUUUCCAUUGCAAUCAAGACAGCCAUUGGAAAAGGAACUGUAAGAAGUACCUUGAUGAGCUGAAACAAAAGAAGAAACAAGGUAAAUUAGAUUUAUUAGUAAUGGAAACAUGCUUAGUUGAGAAUGAUUUCUCAAGCUGGAUUAUUGAUUCAGGAGCAUCUAACCAUGUUUGUAUUUCUUUGAAGAUGCUUGAGUCAUCUAAGGAUCUUGAAGAGGGAGCUUUCAUGAUGAGAGUUGGCAGUGGGGCAAGAGUUUCAGCGACAGCAGUUGGGACAGUACGACUGUCAUUUGCUAAUAAUAAAUAUUUGUUAUUGCACAAUGUUUAUUUUAUUCCGGAUUUCAAAUGGAAUUUGAUUUCGGUUUCAAAGUUACAUGAACAAUUUAUUUCCGUUUCUUUUGAUAUUGACUCUGUUUCAAUCUAUAAGAAUGGAAUGAAUAUUUGUUCAGGUUAUGUUGAUAAUGGUAUAUAUUNNNNNNNNNNNNNNNNNNNNNNNNNNNNNNNNNNNNNNNNNNNNNNNNNNNNNNNNNNNNNNNNNNNNNNNNNNNNNNNNNNNNNNNNNNNNNNNNNNNNNNNNNNNNNNNNNNNNNNNNNNNNNNNNNNAAAUGGAAUAUUAUCACAGCUCACGGCACCUGGGACACCUCAGCAAAAUGGUGUAGCCGAAAGAAGAAAUCGCACUUUGCUUGACAUGAUGAGAUCAAUGAUGAGCUAUUCUUCUCUGCCAACCUCAUUUUGGGGAUAUGCAUUACAAACGGCAGUAUAUAUUCUGAACAUAGUUCCAUCUAAGUCAAUCCCUAACACUCCCCUAGAGUUAUGGAAUGGUCGCAAACCUAGUUUGAGACAUAUUCGCAUAUGGGGGUGCCCUGCGCACGUGUUAAAGGGAAAGACUGGGAAACUAGAACCUCGCUCUGAGGUAUGCAUGUUUGUAGGAUAUCCUAAAGGAACAAGAGGAGGUAUGUUUUAUAGCGCUCAGGAUAACAAAGUAUUUGUGUCAACAAAUGCUACGUUUCUCGAGUAUAACUAUAUGGCAGAUUUUAAACCUAGAAGUAAAGUAGUUCUAGAAGAGUUGCUAGCUGAUGAGAUCAGCCCCAUGCCAACAACAGUUGUUGAACGACAAAGAAAAGAAACCACUGCUCAAGAUCUAACACCACCGCCACCACGACGUAGUGGGAGGGAAAUAAGAUUGCCCAUUCGCUAUCGUGAAAAUGGAGAAGCACAAGUUGCAGUCACUGAUGGCAGUGAUGAUGAUCCAUUGACAUUCAAAAUGGCGAUGGAUGAUGUUGAUCGAGAGAAAUGGUAGGAAGCCAUGAAACUCGAAAUAGAGUCUAUGUACUCAAAUUCAGUCUGGGAACUUGUAGAUCUACCAGAAGGCAUUAAGCCUAUUGGUUGCAAAUGGAUCUAUAAGAGAAAAAGAAGACCUAAUGGGAAAGUAGAGACUUUCAAGGCAAGGCUGGUGGCAAAGGGUUUUACCCAAAAGGAAUGAGUAGACUAUGAUGAUACUUUUUCACCAGUUGCCAUGCUAAAAUCCAUUAGGAUUCUCUUGUCCAUUGCUGCUUAUUAUGAUUAUGAGAUAUGGCAAAUGGACGUCAAGACAGCAUUUUUGAAUGGCCAUCUUGAAGAGACUAUUUAUAUGGUCCAACCAGAGGGUUUCGUGGUCAAAGACCAAGAGUAGAAAGUGUGCAAACUACAAAGGUCCAUUUAUGGACUUAAGCAAGCUUCUAGAUCUUGGAAUAUCAGAUUUAACGAAGCCAUAAAGUCUUAUGGUUUUGAACAAAAUCUGGGUGAACCUUGUGUCUAUAAGCAAAUAGGAGGAGAUAAAGUGGUUUUCUUAGUUCUUUAUGUGGAUGACAUUCUACUCAUUGGAAAUGAUGUAGAAUCUCUAUCCAAGGUAAAGAACUAGCUAGCCAGCCAAUUCCAAAUGAAGGAUUUGGGAGAGGCAAGCUACAUUCUUGGUAUCCAAAUGACUAGGGAUCGUAAGAAUAGGCUUCUGGCAUUGUCUCAGGCAGCAUACAUUGACAAGGUGCUUGUCAAGUUUGCAAUGGAGAACUCUAAGAAAGGGAAUUUGCCUUCUCGACAUGAAGUCCAUCUCUCUAAAGAGCAGUGUCCAAAAACACCACAAGAUGAGGAGAAAAUGAGACGAGUUCCCUACGCAUUAGCAGUUGGUAGUUUGAUGUAUGCAAUGUUGUGUACAAGACCUGACAUAUGCUUUGCAGUGGGAGUGGUUAGUCGAUACCAGUCAAACCCAGGAUUAGAUCACUGGGUAGCAGUCAAGCAUAUACUUAAAUAUCUGAGAAGGACAAGAAACUAUAUGUUGGUAUACUCUGGUAGGGAAUUGAUUCCUAUCGGAUAUACAGAUUCUGAUUUCCAAUCAGAUAGAGACUCUCGGAAGUCUACUUCUGGGGCCGUUUUCACUUUGGGAGGUGGAGCCAUUAUAUGGAGGAGUGUCAAGCAAACUUGUGUUGCUGAUUCAACCAUGGAGGCUGAAUAUGUAGCGGCUUGUGAAGCAGCUAAAGAAGCAGUCUGGCUUCGCGAAUUCUUGAAAGAACUGGAAGUUGUUCCAAAUAUGCAUGAGCCAAUUAGACUCUAUUGUGAUAAUAGUGGAGCAGUGGCUAAUGCCAAAGAACCCAGGAACCAUCGCAAAGGAAAACACAUAGAACGGAAAUUCCACCUGGUAAGAGAGACUGUCAGUAGAGGAGAUGUUUCAGUUGAAAAGAUCGCAUCUGCGAACAACAUAGCUGAUCCAUUCACUAAGACUUUACCAGCUCAGACUUUUGAGCAACAUCUUGAAGGGAUGGGACUUAGAGACAUGUCACAUUUGCUUUAGGGCAAGUGGGAGAUUGUUGGAAUAUGUGCCCAUAAACAAAUGAGAUGUUUUUUAUUUUGCUGAUUAUUAAUAUUUUUUAAGGAAUUAUUUCAAUAUUAUUGUUGCAUGCAUGUUAUAGAUGCUUUAUAAAUAUCGAAAACCCUAGAUUAUUUAAUUGAAACUUUAAAUAUUGUAUAUAAGUGUUAUAUACAAGAGGAUAAUAUUUAAAAUAAAAUAAUCUAAUAUGUUCGUAAUUAAAAAUUAAAGUUGGAAUCUUUAAUUUAAAAUUACUAGCGCGGUUCAUUACAUUCUGAAUGAAAUGAUCUUAUCCGGAUUGUUAAUAAUGAGAUUAUUGGAAUGAAAGCGCUUUAUAUAAUUUGAUUAUAUAGGACUGGAACACGAUUAAUUAUGAAUCUCUGAUAAAUUCCGUUAUAAUAUAGAGCAUUCAAUAUUAAUCAAUGAUGGUCAUAUAUGCAUUGAUCUUAAUUCUGAGUGAUUAAUAGACUCCUAUUUAUUCUAUUGUAUUUUUUGACAUACCGGGUAAUGACACAAAUACAUAGUGUCAAAUUCUUGGUGUAUUGGAAGUAUAAUAAAAUAAAUAGCCGGGAAUAUUAAUAUACAAGAUGAAAUCCAUUCCUUCGUUAAGAAGUCAGAUGGACGGUUCCCAUAAGUAUUGGUUCGGGCCUUGAAUGAUAAGAGCGCUCAAUUUAUGAUUAGACCAUAAAUAUAUUAUUCAUUAGAGAACCAAUGGUACUUAAGGAGAAAGAUAUAAUUAAAGAGGUUAACGGAAAAACCUAGCUUUAAUUAUGAACCGUUUAUGGAGGACUGACUCAUAUGUAGUAACUAUAUCAAUGGGCAAUUCAAAUCCUUUGAAUAUAUUUAAUUUUAUAAUUUUAAGAGUGCAAUUCCAAAUUUUUAGUGGAGUAAUUUUGGAAUUAAUAAUUUUGAUUUUUUAAUUAAGUUGUUAAUUAAUUGUCAAAAUUAUUGGAAGCUUAAAAUUUAAAUGUCCAUAGUUCCUCUCAACGGCUCCAUUAAAAUUAUAUGAANNNNNNNNNNNNNNNNNNNNNNNNNNNNNNNNNNNNNNNNNNNNNNNNNNNNNNNNNNNNNNNNNNNNNNNNNNNNNNNNNNNNNNNNNNNNNNNNNNNNUAAAUAUAUUAUUCAUUAGAGAACCAAUGGCACUUAAGGAGAAAGAUAUAAUUAAAGAGGUUAACGGAAAAACCUAGCUUUAAUUAUGAACCGUUUAUGGAGGAUUGACUCAUAUGUAGUGACUAUAUCAAUGGGCAAUUCAAAUCCUUUGAAUAUAUUUAAUUUUAUAAUUUUAAGAGUGCAAUUCCAAAUUUUUAGUGGAGUAAUUUUGGAAUUAAUAAUUUUGAUUUUUUAAUUAAGUUGUUAAUUAAUUGUCAAAAUUAUUGGAGCUUAAAAUUAUAAUGUCCAUAGUUCCUCUCAACGGCUCCAUUAAAAUUAUAUGAACAUUUUUUUAUGUUGGGUUGAUUUUAUUAGUUUGGAAUUUUAAAUUCUAAAUUAAUUUCACACAAUCUUGAUUUGAUUUAUUUAUUUUAUAAUUUGAUUAUUUAAAAUAUUUUUUGAUACAAUGUGGUGAAGACCACACUUACUUGUAUUCCCUAAGAAACACCUUUUGAGUGGGGAUCAUGGGGAGAGAUAUUCUCUCCCAUGUUUUUCAAAAUUCAAAGAAACACUUUUUAAGUGGGGAUCAUGGGGAGAGAUAUUCUCUCCCAUGUUUUUCAAAAUUCAAAACAUGUCAGUUAUUUUUUUUUUUUUCGUGGUAUUAAAAAAUUUUUUUUUUCUCAAUGUUUCUCGGAUGAUGGGAUGAGAAUACAAGUUUUCAAUAUAUAUUAAGUUGUGUGAGAAAAAAAAACCGAAGAAUGAAAAACGCCCACUCGUUUUGAGUUCAUCAUAAUUUGGAGAACGUUAGAGAAAGAUCCAUGGUGCUUUAGAGGAUUUGGAAUUCUAAGAUCCUUUUGGUGAAGUUCAAAUUUAUCAGCCUAAUCGCAAGGUACAAUUCUAAUUUACCUAUAUUUGUUAUUUCAUUAAAUUAAUACAAGUAUUGAUCAUUGAGAAAAAAUUUUGAGAAAAUUUUUUUGGUUUCCGUUUUUUUCUUUUAUUUAUCUGGUUUCAAAACCAACAAUUUUUGUGUUUUAGGUUUUGUGUAUAUAUAUUCAUUCUUAAUCAAUAGAAAAUUCAAGCCAUUGUUUCUCAAUGAUCCUUUCUCUGCUUCAACAGUUUUCUCCCUGGAGCAUGACCUUAAUGGAACUAGCUAGAUUUUAUCUUGCAAGGGAACAACAGGUACUGGACUAGUGGCGUCCGGGAUGGGCAGGUUUUCAGCCUGCUUCCUGAAAUGCUUUUAGACAAUAUAUUGAAAUACAAUUAUUCCUUUAGUAAGGAUGAGAGCUAUUUCAAUUACUCUCUCUAUAAUUCUUCCAUUAUAAGCAGAGUGGUCCUGGAUGUGUCAGGGCAGAUUAAGCAAAUGACAUGGAUUGAAGACACUCAUCAAUGGAAAUUGUUUUGGUCUCAACCCAGAAGACAAUGUCAGGUUUAUGCUUACUGUGGGCCUUCUAGAAUCUGCAAUCUGGAUUCCUAUGAGUAUUGUGAAUAUUUGCCUGGCUUUGAACCUCGCUCCCCCGGAAACUGGGAAUUGCAAGACAGAUCUGGAGGGUAUGUGAGGAAAGCAGAUUUGCAGUGUGUCAAUGGAAGUCAUGGUGAUGGGGAGAGAGACCAGUUACUUUUGGUGUCUAAUGUAAGACUGCCCGAGUAUCCACUAACAUUGCAAGCAAGAGUGCCAUGGAUUGCGAGUCAGCCAGCCUGAAUAACUACUCUUGCUCUACUUAUGCUUAUGACAACGAGGAGUGUACAGUAUGGAGUGGAGAUCUUCUAAACCUGCAAUAGCUAUCAGAAUCUGACAGUAAUGCUGGAGAUUUCCAUCUCAAACUUGCUGACUCUGAGCAAAAUAGGAGAGGUAAGAAAAAGGGAAUGCUCAUACUAGUUGUUGUAGGACAUAAAGCAUAUAAAAUGGCUAUUGAUUUAGUUAAGUUAAAUGUCAUAUAUUUCCUUCUACAGUUUCAAGCAGCAAGUAGAAGCUAUGGCUCAUUGUUACACUAACCAUUUCUGUAACUUUAGCCUUUGUCACAUUUGGAAUAUGGAGAAGGCUCCAAAGAAAAGGUCAGUAUUUCUCAUGGAUAGAAGAUGACCAAGCAAUUCAAGGCUAUUUAGAUUCCAUCAACACAUACAAAACCAUUUCUUAUCUGAUAUGAAUUCAUUACCAUUGUUGUAGAAUAAUUAAGUUCAUAUUAGAGUUUCAAUCUCCUGAUUACAGUAUUGAAUUAGCUUAUUCCCAUGCCAGAAUUCCUACAUUCUUAUAGAAUUUAAUCUGUUGGUUCUUUACCAAGCAUGGGAAGAUUUGUUACUAUUUGAUUUCAGUGACAGCUCAGAAGAUACCAACCAUGAACUUAGUGAGGCAAAUAAAGGUUGGAGAGGAGAGAAGAAGGAAGUUGAUUUGCCAAUGUUUAGUUGUGCGAGUGUAUCUAUUGCUACCAAUAACUUCUCUAUUGAAAAUAAACUAGGAGAGGGAGGUUUUGGACCAGUUUAUAAGGUGAGCUUAGUAUGACUAACAGUAAUGCCUCUUAGAAAAGAAAUGUGAAAAUUUUUGCUACUGUUCUACAAUCCCUCAACCGUAAAUGCCCAUUAGGCAUACACAAAUUUUCUUUUACUUGGUGUGGUUGUUGUACUUAGUUGAAAUCCCCAUGACAUGGAAAGUCACAAAGAGGAUAUGAGGUAGCUGUGAAAAGACUUUCAAAAAGAUUUGGACAGGGUUGGGAGGAGUUAAAAAAUGAAUCCAUGCUUAUAGACAAGCUUCAACAUAAGAAUCAUGUUAGACUUUUGGGCUGCUGCAUUGAGCUAGAUGAGAAGAUACUGAUUUAUGAGUAUAUGCCCAAUAAAAGCUUAGAUUUCAUCCUUUUUGGUUUGUACUUCUCAACAUAUCUAAACUUUUGUUUAUCCUAAGCUCAAUAAAAAGCUUUUUUCAUUCAUUGUUGUUGGCCUUUUAUUUACUGACACCAGUUUGUAUUUAUUUGGUGUAAAAUUGGGAUAGAUCCUGCAUGACAUGGGAUUCUGGACUAGGAGACACGUCAUUCACAUAAUUGAAGGGGUUGCUAAGGGAUUUCUUGAUCUCCAUCAAUACUCCAGAUUGAGGAUUAUUCAUCAAGAUUUGAAGGUUAGCAACAUGUUUUUGGAUAUGGACAUGAACCCCAAAAUAUCAGAUUUUGGAAUGGCAAGAAUUUUUGGAGGGACUUGGUAAGUGAAUCCUUGCAAACUGUAAGAUACAUGGAUUCUCUCUCUCUCUCUCUCUCUCUCUCUCACACACACACACACACACACACACACACAUAUAUAUAUAUAUACAUUUUUGUCACAAGGCAGCUACUAAAUGAUUUGUUAUAAUAAUGAAAUUUAGUGGCUACAUGUCCCUUGAAUAUGCUUUGGAAGGCCUCUUUUCAACUAAAUCAGAUGUCUUUAGCUCCAGGGUUUUGUUACGGGAGAUUCUAAGAGGCAAAAAAAAAUACCAGAUUUUACCAGAGUGAUUCACUCAAUCUUCUUGGAUAUGUGAGUAACACAAUCUACAAUGUUCUAAUAUACUAAUUCUUGAUUUACUAGUCAGUAAUUUUUCACAUCUUGUUUACUAGUCAAUUUUAAGCUAAAGUUCUUUGCAUGCAAUAAAAAGGACCAUGCAUCUGUUUUUCUUUUUUGGAAAUUUGCAUCAAAAGAACAUUUUCUUUCCUUCAGGCAUGGGAUCUAUGGAAAAACAACAUAGGGCAGGACCUGAUGGAUCCAGUAUUGAAUUGGGAGGCACGGGUUCACAUCAUUCAAGGGAUGGCUCAGGGACUUCUUUAUCUCCAUUAAUACUCUAGAUUGAGAAUUAUUCAUCAAGAUUCGAAGACUAGCAACAUUCUUUUGGAUAAGAACAUGAACAAAACAUAUAGUUGGGACUUAGUAAGUGAAUCAUUAUUAUACUCAUUUUUAUGUGGAAUUUAAAGUUUUAAAAUUUUGUACAAAACAAUUUGCACUUAUAGCUUUUUAAAUAAGAAAACUAUUUUAUAUUUUUAAAAUAAAAUAAUGCAAUUGUGGCAUGUGAAGAAAUUUUUAUUUUUAUGGAUAAAUAUAUUUUACAAAUUUUAUAUCAAUUUCUUUUUUAUUUAUAUCUAUUUAUAUUUUUUUUCAAUGUUUUCAUAAUCGAAUUGGUCAUUGAAUUGAAAAAGUUACUGGUUCACGGUUCAUUGGUUGGAUUGGUGUCGAUCCGUGAUUGAAUCAGUGAUGUUAUAAAUAAGUAAUUUAUAUAUUAUUAAAAUUCAAAAUGUUAUAUAAAAUUUUUUAGAUAUAUAAAAAAAUAAAAAUCAAUAAUAUUUAUUUUUUCAUCUUUAAUAUUAUCAAAUUAACAUAUAUCAAUAAUAUAAUAUUAUCAAUAAAAAAAAUAUUAUCAAGUCCGAAUCGGUGCCUGGUCCACCAGGCUAGUGGUUUUGACCGCCUGUCCGUUGGGCUCAUGAGCGGUCGGCAUUCCGGCCUAAUUAGGCUACCUGGACUGGAUUAAGCUCCAGUUGAUGGUUGAACUGGCCAAUCCAAAACAUUGAUUUUUUUUUUUUAUCUCAAUAUUUGUAUCUUAUUUACUUCAUAUAAACUUGAAAUUAUUAAUUUAAAUAACAAUUAUCCAUUAUCCAUUUAAAACCAGUCAUCCUCACAUUUAUCUCUACACCCAAAUGCCCAUUUCCUAUUGAAAAGUGAAUAUCACAUUGGAUGCAUUGAAUUGUUGUUUCCCUACCACCACCCCUUUUAACUUCUCUUCACUUUGGCAUCACAAACUUAAGCAAUUUUUUUGGGAUGUUGAGAUGAGAUCAUGAGACAAGCGUUCAGAGGACGUGUUGAGAGUUUCUGAUAUCUUCCACGACAGCUAAGACCAUGAAUCUGAAGAGAAAGAACUGAAGAAGAGGGAGGAAAGUGAGAGUUGGUUACUCCCUUAAUUUUCAAAUUUAAAAUGGAUGAUGAAGUCUGAAGAUGUCAUAUUACACAUCCAAUGGGCCCAAUAAAUUCUUGGGUACCUACACAGACUGUUUCGUAGAAUUUUCCUAAAAGAUAUUUUGAAAGGGAGAUCGAUGGAAAGGAGACUUUUACUUACCAGUCGCCGGGCCGCCUCAGAUCCGCUACUGCCUGUUUUGGAUGGCUAUAAGAUUAUUGAUGGGCUGCGUAAACGCUUCUUAUGAGUUAUGGGUAGCAUGGAAUUUUCAACCAGAAGGUGUUCUGCUUAUCUUGUUUUCUUGCUUAUUUCUUCAGGUUUUCACUGGCAAUUUGCUGAUGCAUUUACAGAUACAAUCUUACAAGGUCAGUCAAUUACAACCUCUCAGACCAUCAUAUCUGCUGCUGGUAACUUUGAAUUAGGAUUCUUCAAGCCUGGAAACUCCACAAAUUAUUAUGUGGGGAUAUGGUACAAGAAAAUCUCAGACCAAGUCUCAGACAAAACCAUUGCCUGGGUGGCUAACCGAGAGUAUGCGUUCAAAAAUCCGUCUGUGGUCCUUACUGUCAGCACAGAUGGUAACCUCGAGAUUUUGGAAGGGAAGUUUGCCUACAAGGUGCAAGCAUAUCAUCAAAUAGAAACACAAGUGCCACCCUGUUGGAUUCUGGAAAUGUAGUUUUGAGAAAUGACAACUCAACUAUCUUAUGGCAGAGCUUUGACUAUCCAUCGCACGCUUUCUUGCCGGGGAUGAAAAUUGGAUAUGACAAAAGGGCUGGAAAAACAUGGUCAUUGACGUCAUGGAAGAGCACUGAAGAUCCCAGUCCAAGAGUUUUCUCCGUGGAGCAGGGCCCUAAUGGAACUAGCCAGAUUUUUAUCUUGCAAGGGCCAACAAGGUUCUGGACUAGUGGCAUAUGGGAUGGGCGUACUUUCAGCCUGGCUCCUGAGAUGCUCGAAGACUACAUAUUUAAUUACAGUUAUUACUCUAGUAAGGAUGAGAGCUAUUGGAGUUACUCUCUCUAUGAUUCUUCCAUUAUAAGCAGAUUGGUGCUGGAUGUGUCAGGGCAGAUUAAGCAAAGGAAAUGGCUUGAUUCCUCUCAUCAAUGGAAUUUGUUUUGGGCUCGACCAAGAACAAAAUGUGAGGUUUAUGCUUCCUGUGGGCCUUUUGGAAUCUGCCAUGAGAGUGCAGUCGAUGGAUUCUGUGAAUGUUUGCCAGGUUUUGAACCUGUCUCCCCUAAUAACUGGUACUCGGACGAAGGGUGUGAGGAAAGCAGAUUGCAGUGUGGCAAUACUACUCAUGCUAAUGGGGAGAGAGACCAGUUUCGCAAGGUGUCUAGUGUGACACUACCGAAUUAUCCACUAACACUCCCAGCGAGGAGUGCCCAGGAGUGCAAGUCAGCUUGCCUAAAUAACUGCUCUUGCUCUGCUUAUGCCUACGACAGAGAGACGUGUACAGUAUGGAGUGGAGAUCUUCUAAAUUUGCGACAGCCAUCCCAUUACAACAGUAGUGGUCAAGAUUUCUAUCUCAAACUUGCGGCCUCUGAGCUAAAUGGGAAAGGUAAUAAAAGUAGGGAAUGGUCAAACUUUUUUUGUGGAAGGACAGAGCAUAUGAUUUUCUUUUUCUUAAAUAUAAGAUGAAGUUCAUCAAAGAUUAGUUACAUUUAUUUCUUUUUGCAGUUUCAAGCAGCAAGUGGAAGGUGUGGCUAAUUGUUAUACUGGCCAUUUCCCUAACUUCAGCCUUUGUCAUUUGGGGGAUAUGGAGAAAGCUCCGAAGAAAAGGUCAGUAUUUUUCAUGGAUAGAAGAUGGCCAAGCAAUUCAAGGGUAUUUAGAUUCCAUCUACACAUACAAAACCAUUUGUUUUCUGCAAUGAGCUCAUUACCAUUGUUGUAGAAUAAUUAAGGCCAUAUUAGGAUUUCAAUCUCCUGAUUACAUGUGAGUGUGGACCUGCACUAUAGUGCGAUAAAAAUCAAUAAUGAAUCAAUUUAUUCCCAUGCCAGAAUUCCUACAUUCUUAUGAUACUUGACAGCUGUUUCGUCUUUAUCAAGCAGGGGAAAAUUUGUUACUAUUUGAUUUAAGUAACAGCUCAGAAGAUGCCAACUAUGAACUUAGUGAGGCAAAUAAACUUUGGAGAGGCGAGAACAAGGAAGUUGAUUUGCCAAUGUUCAGUUUUGUGAGUGUAUCUGCUGCUACUAAUAACUUCUCUAUUGAAAAUAAACUAGGAGAGGCGGUUUUGGACCUGUUUACAAGGUGAGAUUAGUAUCUGUGAAUUUUCUUGGUAUGUACAGAGUUUCUUUUACUUGGUGUCAUUGUACUAAGUUAAAAUUCCCAUGACAGGGAAAGUCACAAAAAGGAUACGAUGUAGCUGUGAAAAGGCUUUCAAAAAGAUCAGGAUAGGGAUGGGAGGAGUUAAAAGAAUGAAGCCAUGCUUAUAGCCAAGCUGCAACAUAAGAAUCUUGUGAAGUUGUUUGGUUGCUGCAUUGAGCAAGAUGAGAAGAUAUUGAUUUAUGAGUAUAUGCCCAACAAAAGCUUGGAUUUCUUCCUAUUUGGUUUGUAACUUCUACAUAUCUGAACUUCUUGCUACUGUGUAUUCAAUAAAAAACCAUUCAUUAUUAUUCACCACUUAUUUGCUAACAUGAGUUUGUAUUUAUUUGGUGUAAAAUGGAAAUAGAUCCUGCAAAACAUGGGAUUCUGAAUUGGAAGACAUGGGUUCACAUCAUUGAAGGGGUUGCUCAGGGUCUUCUUUAUCUGCAUCAAUACUCCAGAUUGAGGAUUAUUCAUCGAGAUUUGAAGGCUAGCAACAUUCUUCUAGAUAAGGACAUGAAUCCUAAGAUAUCAGAUUUUGGAAUGGUAAGAAUAUUUGGGAGCAACGAAUCAAAAGCAACAAAUCAUAUAGUUGGGACUUAGUAAGUGAAGCCUAACAAAUUCUAAAAUAUGUGAAUGUUCAUACAACUUUUUUUUUUUUUCUACACAUAUAUUUGAAAUCAUGCAGCUACUAAAUCGUUUUGUGAUUAAUAAUCAAAUUCAGUGGCUACAUGUCCCCUGAGUAUGCAUUGGAAGGCCUUUUUUCGACUAAAUCUGAUGUCUUUAGCUUCGGGGUCUUAUUACUAGAGAUUUUGAGUGGCAAGAAGAAUACUGAAUUUUACCAAAGUGACUCCCUCAAUCUUCUCGGAUAUGUGAGUAACACAAUAUUUCCUCACAUAACUAUUUAUGAUGUUUUGAUAUGCUAAUUCUUUGUUUUCAAUUCCCCUGUUAUAUUACCUAUUUGGUUGUCUUGGGCUAGUAAAUUUUCACAUUAUGUUUACCACUCAGUUUCAAAGCUUAUUUCAUAUCAUUGGCUACUAUAAAAAGGACUUUAUUAUCUUUUACUUUUUGGGAAUUUGCAUCAAUGGAUAAUUUUCUUUCUUUUAGGCAUGGGAUCUGUGGAAAGACAACAGGGGACAGGAGUUGAUGGAUCCAGUGUUGGAAGAGACAUUGCCAACACACAUUCUGUUGAAGUACAUCAAUAUAGGCCUUCUUUGUGUUCAAGAAAGUGCAGAUGACAGGCUUACCAUGUCUGAUGUUGUCUCAAUGCUUGGCAAUGAAAGUGUACGUUUACCCUCUCCAAAACAACCGGCAUUUUCAAAUCUGAGAAGUGGGGUGGCACCACAUAUAUUUCAAAACAGGCCUGAAAUUUGUUCCUUAAAUGGUGUGACACUUUCGAUUAUGGAAGCACGAUAAUGGUUCAGAACUUAAUAAAUAAUAUGCUUAAAUUUCAGCAUAUUGUCUUGCGUUGUUUUUGUGAAUUCAUAGCUCAUGUAUUGAAAUGGACAUGUGAUCUAUGUGUUAAUUUUUCUUCCAAAACAGUUCAAUAAUCAUUCAGACCUGUGUCUAAUAUUUUUAUCUGAAACUGUUAUGAAGUCUGAUUUUAUCCAGUUGAAUUUGGAUUUAAUUUGAUUAUGAUCUGUACCCUCAUCAAUCCAAGGAGUGAAGGACAAUUUUCAGAGCUCAAAAACCAACAAAUGGCGCAUUUAGGGCCAAUCCAUCUAUAGAGAGUCAACUAUCCACCUUCCACUUAUUCUCUUAUAUGUGUUUCCGAAUGCCCUGGCAUAUGUAUAUCUUGCACAGAUUCAAUUCUGUACUACUGUAUAUUUACUAUGAGACUGACUAAGUUCUACUGUUUUGAGAAUAGUGCAGUGUAUAUAUCUUGCCAAGAAUAUUCUAUGGAGCAUAAUUCCUUUGUGAAAUCAGAUGUUUCCAGCUAAGGAGUUGAUUGUGAAUCCUGUGACAAGAGGAACUCGAAAUAUUACCUCUCACUGAGAAUCCUGUGAAUUGAAACCUCCUUAACACCUACCAUAUGAAAAUGAAUGAUUUUUCUUUUCUUUUUUUCUGUAAUUUUAUGUAUUAGCAUGGUAAGUGAAUUCAGUUUUCACUGGGCAUCUGAAAGAAGAUAAUUUGAAACAGUUUUUGGUAUGGGGAAUGGGGUAUGAGGACAAGAUGCUGUAAUUGAUGGAUAUGUCAGUGGGGAAAGAAAUUAUCAGAACCCAGGUGUAGGUAUUAACUUAGCUAUAAUGGGGGAAGGGAGUGAACAGAAGCAGGGUUAGCUUCAAUUUCAGAUUCAUAUCAUACAGUGCUUCAUUCAACUAGUAAUAGCGAAGACAAUUCAGCUACUCAGCAUAGGAGGGAGGAAUUAGUUAAGCAGUUGUAGAUUUUUCGCCUUCCAAAUCCAAAGUGAUCAGACAAUUUUCCAGAAAAAAAAAAAGUGGUAUAACGUUCCCUGUGACUUAUAACACUUCCCAUUUGUUUGGACAUAGUUUGAAUAAAACCCCUUUGGUUGCCAAGAAAACCAAGGAAAAUGCAAAAGAGAAAUAACUUGAAGUCUACAAUUUCUGUAGUUUAUGAUGGAAAGCUCAAGUUCAAGCUCAAGUAAGGCUAAACGAGCCCAUUGACCCUCUCUCAUCUCUACAACAUAGACUUCAAAAGCAAAAUGGGUAAAAUAAUGGUCAUUUAAGGGGCCCUGCGCUUGGCUUGGGAAUCAGUUUCAUUGAAUAUUUUAGGAGAGAUAACAUAUAGCAAGUCAAAAAGUAGAUAAGUACAAACUAAUUUUGCCGUCCAGCAUAGAAAAUCUAAUCCCAGUGGGGCCUUAAGUACAUGAAUUUAGUGUUCUUUCCAUCAUUCUUCUCAUUCUGGUCAUGGUCUAGAUUGAAGAAAGGUCCGAUACAAAUUGGAAAAGUCAUAGAAGGAAAUAUAUCUAGAAGGGAAUCCUAACAAAAGGUCUUUCAAAACUGCUACACCUUGCUUUGCAUCGUAGUUGGUCUCUGCAUUGAAUGAGUCUUUUUUUUUCCUAUGUCCCCUGGAGACAGAAAAUCUGAAAACAUUUCUAAAUGGUUUUCCAAAAUACAGUGCAUGGGAGGUUCCAGGACUUUGAGGGAAAGGAAAGCAGCAGAACCAGCUGGGGAAAAUCAGGUAUCUGAUUUCUUCUAUUAAUUCAUCAGCAUGAAAAGGAUCAUUUCCUGCCACUCUAAUGUUGUUUAAUCUAUUCAACCACGGAAAUUAGGGAAGACUUUGACGAAAAUGAUGCGCGGUCAAGUUCUGCUACCUGCUACAUUGAAUUAUGCUUAUCUAGGGAAGAUGCAUUGAAGUCUUAGAGCAUUUGAGAUUUUUUUUUUCUUUUUUUCUCUUAAGACACAAUUAAUUGUCCAUAAAUUAAUAGCUUGGGAACAAGGAAAAUCAAUUAAUUAAGUGAAUAUUAAUUGCUUAUUAAUUAAUAAAUCAUUAAUUUAUCAAGAUAGUUCUUAUUUUUUCAAAAUAUUGUAUUCAAUAUUAUUUAUUAUAAUUGUUAGGAAGUGUCCCAAUUUCCUAAUUAGUAUAAAUUUAUUUUUUGUAAAGAAUAUUAUAUGAAUGUUUUUAGGUUAAUAUAUUAUUGUAAUAUUAGAUUUUCUUAUAGGGUAAGGAAGGUUGUUGGAAAUAUCUUUGUACAUAUUCUAGGUCAUGAGGAGAAAAAGUUAUGAGAUGGAAAUGACCAUGUAAAGAUUAUACGGGGUAAAUAGAGAUGUGAGAAAGAACGGGAGGUACUCGGUGGAGCGAGAUGACUUGUGGUAGGGUAGGGAUACGAAGAGUAGGAAAACAGGAGAUGUUUUAAGAACCCAAUAAUUGUAUCUGGUUAUGUCCUCUAUAAUGUUUUGGUUCUAUCCUUUGUAAUGUUCUCUAUUGUAUAAUGAAAUGAUUCUCUCUCAUCUGUGGACGCAGACAUGGUUGGUCGGAUGUGAUGAGGGAGCAGCAACACCACUCUUCAUCUCUGAACUAGACUGUGAUGUAGACUUUGGUAUGGAUCUUGACCCCAACUCAACCUCCACCUGUGUGCUUGAUUUUUAUUGCUCUUUAUCACAAGAAUAUCUAAAAGAUGAGUCAUGAAGCAUAGUAGUUUCAUAAAAAAUAACAUCUCUAUUGACCAUGACUUUCUUGGUUUUUAAACACCAUAACUUAUAUCCUUUAACACUAGACUUAUAGCCAAGGAAGACACAUUUUAUAGACCUAGGUUCUAGCUUUCCAUUAUCAACAUGAGUAUAGGCAGGACAUCUAAAUACCUUCAAAUCAGGGUAACUAGCAGGAGUACCAGACCAUACCUCUUGUGGAGUUCUUUUGUUAGUAGUAGUUGAGGGAUAACGAUGAAUGAGGAAACAAGAUGUAGCUUUAGUCCAAAAAGACUUAGGUAAACCAACAAUGGAAAGCAUAUAAUGUACUUUCUCCAUCAAAGUCCUAUUCAUUUGCUUUGCCACACCGUUUUGCUGUGGGGUAUGACGAACUGUAUGAUGCCUCGCGAUUUCUUCUGACUUGCAUAGAACAUUAAAUUCAUAAGAACAAAACUCCAAGCCAUUAUCAGUGCGAAGACGUUUUACCUGCUUCCAUGUCUGCUUCUCAAUCAUAAUUGUCCACUCCUUGAAUGUAGCUAACAUAUCACUCUUUUUCUUCAAGAAGAACACCCAAACUUUUCUGGAAAAAAUCAUCAAUGAUAGUUAACAUAUAACUAACACAUCCCUUAGAAGGCACCCUAGAUGGUCCCCGAAGAUUAGAAUGUAUAUAAUUGAGUGUCCUCUUUGUGUUGUGAAUGCCUUUUGUGAAUUUGACUCUUCUCUGCUUCCCAAAAACGCAGUGCUCAUAGAACUUUAGUUUUCUAAUACUCUAACCAUUAAGAAGUCCUCUUUUGCUCAAUUCAAUCAUCCCAUUCUCACUCAUAUGCCUAAGGCGCAUAUGCCAAAGUCUAGUAACAUCACCAUCUAAUAAGGAAGAAGUAGCAACAACUACAUCACUUAUAACUGUGGAUCCCUACAAGACAUAUAAUUUGGUAGAUCUUUUCUGCCAUUUCAUCACAACAAGAACACAUUUACUAACCUUUAAGACUCCACCUUCACCAGUAUACUUGUACCCUUUUGAAUCAAGAGUACUCAAUGAGAUAAAGUUCCUCUUUAGAUUUGGAAUGUGUCUCAUAUCACCAAACAUAGAUGGACAUUCAAGAAUAAAGAUUAGAAUUAGAUUUGAACCCAAACAUCAUUUAAAUCAGAGAUUGUAUAGGUCAUUAUAGAAGAUUAUUAUUAAAUUUGGCCCGAAAAAUAAAUCUUUUACAUUUUACUCCCUACUAUAAGUGACCUACCACCAGCCUAAAAAGAAGAAAUGUGGGCCUAAUGAGGGUUUUUUUUUUUUUUUUGAUAUUUUCCAUUUAUAUAACUAACUUGAACAAUGGUGUACCCUUAAAAGUAGAAAAGAUCCAUGUAGUAUUCUUCGGUUUAUUAUGGUUAUGUUUGGUUAUGAGAAAAUUUAAAGGAAAAUGUGAAGAAAAGAAAAUAAAAAAGAAAAAUAAAAAGAAAGAAAAUUAAAAAUGGGUUUAAAUUCAAUGAAUUAUUUUUAUAUGCUUCUCCAAACUCAUUUCACUUUUUUUUUUCAUUAUAAUAAGAUUAAAUAAUUUAAAAAUAUAUAAAAUUUUAACUAAUUUUAUUUUAUUUUGUAUUUUUUCAUAAUGAAACUAAAUAUAAGAAAACUAUUUUUCUUAACUUUUUUUUUCUUAAUAUUUUCCAAGAGACUAAAUAUAGCCUAGAUGUAUCUAGUAGAAAGAUCCAACAUGGGGUUGGAAAAAAAUCAUAGAAGAAGAUAUAUCUUGAAGGGGAGAUCAAAGGAUAUUAAAUGGGACUAUGACCCACACCUGAGAUUUAUGGGCUGCUUAAUGGAACAAACCAGAUUUUUAUCCACCAUAUUGAAUAUUGAAUAUGGUAUUCUUCCAAUUAUUAAAUGUAUUCAGCGAAAAGGUCCAAUUGUUAGUAAAAGAAGAACAGGUCAAACUAUCGUACUAGGGUGCUAUGAGUGAGAUUGUGAUUACAUCAACUUUUAAUUAUUUAGAAUAUUGUCCAUUAUAUAUUUUAAUUUUUUAUAAUAUUAAUUUAUUUUAUUGAUUAAGAAUUAUAAUUUAAUGUAUACUUAACAUUAAAAUCUUAUAUAGUUCCAAUUUCAUACAAGUAACUAAAUUUUUUAUAUUGAUCUCAUCUCUGCACCCAAAUGCCCAUUUCCUCUUGAAGAUUAAAAAUUAAAAAUAAAAAUUAAUCCAUCUAACAACCAAGUUAAAAUGUAUUUAUAUAUCAUAAAAAAAAAAAAUCAUCACCGAAUAAACCAAUAACCAUAAAAAUAAAAAUGGAAAAUCAUCUAUAAAUAAAUCAAAACAAAAUAUAAAAAGAAAAUAAUAUUUUCAUGGUUGAUUAACCCUAUGAGUUGGAUGAUAAAAGCGUUAAUAUCGAGUUGGAGGCAAAACCAAUAACCAUCGGAAGAUAUUCUUCGAUUGCUACCACACGGUGCUGUAGAAUUUUCCAAAAGGGAGGCCAGUGUAAAGGAGACGUGCAAGAUGUUCUUCUAUUGCUUCCACACAGUGGUGUCGAAUUUUCCUAGAAGAUAUAUUGAAAGGGAGAUCAGUGGAAAGGAGACUUUGACUCACCGGUCGUUGGGCCUCAGGUCCGCCACUGCCUGUUUUGGAUGACUAUAAAACUAUUGAUGGGCUGCUUAAACGCUGCUUAUGAGUUAUGGUUAACAUGAAAAUUUCAACCAGAAGGUGGUCUGCUAAUCUUGUUUUCUUGCUUAUUUCUUCAGGUUUUCACUGGCAAUUUGUUGAUGCAUUUACAGAUACAAUCUUACAAGGUCAAUCAAUCACAACCUCUCAGACCAUCAUCUCUGCUGGAGGUAACUUUGAAUUAGGAUUCUUUUCUCCUGGAAAGUCCACAAAAUACUAUGUGGGGAUAUGGUACAAGAAAAUCUUAGAGCAAACCAUUGUGUGGGUAGCUAACCGAGACUAUUCAUUCACAAAUCCGUCCGUGAUUCUCACUGUCAGCACAGAUGGCAACCUCGAGAUUUUGGAGGGGAAGUUUUCGUACAAGGUGACAAGCAUAUCAUCAAACAGCAACACUAGUGCCACCCUGUUGGAUUCUGGAAAUCUUGUUUUGAGGAAUGGCAACUCAGAUAUCUUAUGGGAGAGCUUUGACUAUCCAACGGACACACUCCUGCCCGGAAUGAAAAUCGGACAUGACAAAAGGUCUGGAAAAACAUGGUCAUUGGUGUCAUGGAAGAGCGCAGAAGAUCCCGGUCCAGGAGAUUUCUCCGUGCAGGUCGACCCUAAUGGAACUAGACAGAUUUUUAGCCUGCAAGGACCCAACAGGUAUUGGACUACUGGGGUGUGGGAUGGGCAGAUUUUCAGCCAGAUUCCUGAGUUGCGUUUCUACUACUUUUAUAAGUACAAUACAUCCUUUAAUGAGAAUGAAAGCUAUUUCACUUACUCUUUUCAUGAUCCCUCCAUUCUGAGCAGAGUGGUGGUAGAUGUGUCAGGCCAGGUUAGGAAACUGAAAUGGCAUGAAGGCACACAUGAAUGGCAUUUAUUUUGGCUUCAACCAAAAAUACAGUGUGAGAUUUAUGCUUACUGUGGGCCUUUUGGAACCUGCACUCGGGAUUCUGUUGAAUUUUGUGAAUGCUUACCAGGUUUUGAACCUCGCUUCCCUGAAGACUGGAAUCUGCAAGACAGAUCUGGAGGGUGUGUGAGGAAAGAAGAUUUGCAGUGUGUCAAUGAAAGCCAUGCUAAUGGGGAGCGAGACCAGUUUCUUUUGGUGUCUAACGUGAGACUGCCCAAGUAUCCAGUAACACUGCAAGCAAGGACUGCUAUGGAGUGCGAAUCAAUUUGCCUGAAUCGCUGCUCUUGCUCUGCUUAUGCUUACGAGGGAGAGUGUAGAAUAUGGGGUGGAGAUCUUGUAAACGUGGAGCAGCUACCAGAUGGUGACAGUAAUGCUAGAAGUUUCUACAUCAAACUUGCUGCCUCUGAGCUAAAUAAGAGAGGUAAGAAAAAAGAGUCAUAGUUGUUAUUGUAGGAGGACAUAGAGCAUAUGGGUCUUGUUUUAUUUUCAAUAUAAAAUGGCCAUGGAUUCAGCUAAAUUUAAUAUGAUAUAUUUCCUUCUACAGUUUCAACCAGCAAGUGGAAGGUAUGGUUAAUUGUCACACUGGCCAUAUCUUUAACUUCAGUAUUUGUCAAUUAUGGGAUAUGGCGAAGGUUCCGAAGAAAAGGUCAGUAUUUCUCAUGGACAGAAGGAUGGCCAAGCAGUUCAACAGUUUUUAGGUUCCAUCUGCAAAUACAAAGCCAGUUCUUUUUUUAAAAUGAGUUCAUUACCACUGUUAUUGAAUAAUUAAGGUAACAUUAGGAUUUCAUGUUCUGAUUACAUGUGAGUGUGUAUGUGGAAUCCAAUGUGAGAAAUAAUUUAUUCCCAUGCCGGAAUUCCUACAUUCUUAUGAUAUUUAAUGUCUGUUUGUUCUUUACCAAGCAGGGGAAGAUUUGUUAGUAUUUGAUUUCGGUAACAGCUCAGAAGAUACCAACUGCUAUGAGCUUGGCGAGACAAAUAGACUUUGGAGGGACGAGAAGAAGGAAGUUGAUUUGCCCAUGUUCAGUUUUGCGAGUGUAUCUGCUUCUACAAAUAACUUCUGUAUUGAAAAUAAACUAGGAGAGGGCGGUUUUGGAUCUGUUUACAAGGUGAGAUUAUAACCCCUGACAAUAAUGUUCUACAAUUUGUCCUGGAAUGUAAAGGCCUACUUGAUAUAUACCAAAUUUCUUUUACUUGGUGUAAUUGUAGUCUGUUGAAAUUCCCAUGACAGGGAAAGUCACAAAGAGGAUAUGAGGUAGCUGUGAAAAGGCUCUCAAAAAGAUCUAAACAGGGAUGGGAGGAGUUAAAAAAUGAAGCCAUGCUUAUAGCCAAGUUGCAACACAAGAAUCUUGUGAAAGUUUUGGGAUACUGCAUCGAGCGGGAUGAGAAGAUAUUGAUUUAUGAGUAUAUGUCCAACAAAAGCUUGGAUUUCUUCCUCUUUGGUUUGUAACUUCCACAUACAUAUGCUUCCAGCUACUGUAUAUUCAAUGAGAACUUUAUACAUUCAUCAUUCUUCACCACUUACUUGCUAACAUCUAUUUUUUUGGUGUAAAAUGGAAAUAGAUCCUGCAAAACGCGGGAUUCUGAAUUGGGAGACGCGAGUUCACAUCAUUGAAGGGGUUGCUCAGGGACUUCUUUAUCUCCAUCAGUACUCCAGAUUGAGAGUUAUUCAUCGAGAUUUGAAGGCUAGCAACAUUCUUCUGGAUAAAGACAUGAACCCUAAAAUAUCAGAUUUUGGAAUGGCAAGAAUUUUUGGAGGAAAUGAAUCAAAAGCAACAAAACAUAUAGUUGGGACUUAGUAAGUGAAUCCUAACGCAUUGUAAAAUAUGUGGACUGUCUCAUAACAUGCUUUUUUUCUACAUAUAUAUUUGUAAUCAUGCAAUUACUAAAUGAAUUGUUUUAAUAAUGAAUCCAGUGGCUACAUGUCCCCCGAGUAUGUUUUGCGAGGUCUCUUUUCAACUAAAUCUGAUGUUUUUAGCUUCGGGGUCUUGUUAUUAGAGAUUCUAAGUGGCAAGAAGAUUACUGAAUUUUAUCAUAGUGACUCGCUCAAUCUUCUUGGAUAUGUAAGUAACACAAAUUUCCUCUUAUGUAGCUAAAGUUAUCAUGUUUACUACUAUAUUUCAAGCUUUAAGUUACAUACUUGAAUGCAAUUGACCGAAUUAGGACUAUAUAUCUUUUUUUCUUUUUUCGGGAAUGUGCAUCAAAGUAUAAUUUUCUUUCCUUUAGGCAUGGGAUCUGUGGAAAAGCAACAGAGGACAAGAGUUGAUUGAUCCAGUAUUGAAUGAGAUAUCUUUGAGACAUAUUCUGUUAAGGUACAUCAAUGUAGCCCUUCUUUGUGUUCAAGAAAGUGCAGAUGAUAGGCCCACCAUGUCCGAUGUUGUCUCCAUGCUUGUCAAGGAAAAUGUACUUUUAUCUUCUCCAAAUGAGCCGGCCUUCUUAAAUCUAUCGAGUAUGAAACCACAUGCAUCUCAAGAUAGGCUUGAAAUUUGUUCCUUAAAUGAUGUAACACUUUCAAGCAUGGGAGCACGAUAAGUGUUCUAAAUUUCAGAUUGCAUAUGCUUAAAUGUCUUCAGCAUAUUGUCUAGUAUUAUUAUUGGCCAUCAAGUGGAUUGUUGAUGUACUGAACGUGUGAACUUUUGUAUGUAUUUUUCUUUCAAUGCAGUUCAAUAAUGUGCUUAAUUUUACUCAAUCCUCAAGGAUUCAGACCUGUAUCUCAUCUUCCCAUCUGUAAUUGCUACUGAAUCUGCUUUUAUGCAUUGCCAAUCCAGACACUAAAAUACAACCCUCAGAGCUUACUGCAAAUGUUCAACUAGUGCUAGGAAAGACGAGCUUUUGCGCAUGCUACAGCUAAGCAUAAGUACUAAUUAACAUAUAGGCAAGAGGGAAAGUGAGGAAGGAAAGCAGCUAUAGAUUUUUUUGCCUUUUAAACUGUGAUAGCAUCUAGCAUUUUUUUUAAGAGAAGAAAUAGUAUAAUUUAAUUGAGUACUCGUAAAACCUUCUUUUCUUAUUGGACAUGGUUUCAAUAAAACCCAUUUGGUUGCCAAGAAAUCUGAGGAAAUUCAGGAUGUGGAUGGGGAAUUUGAAGUCUACCUUCGUCCCUAUAGCUUAAAAUGAAAAGGCAUAGUUACAAACUAAGCUUACAUUCUGGCAGAAACGUAUAUAUUCCCUAUUGGGGCUUGCAGUAGGAGAUUGACCUGGAAGCCAACCAGAAAAGACAUGCAUCUAUGAUUAAAAGGAGCUCAUGCUCACAAGAAACUUUCUCUCUAUCCAAUGUGGGAUAUGACACCCUGAAGUAUGAAUAUCACUACUUACUAUUGCUAGCUAUGGACAAGGAAAAAAAAACAAGAGAAGGAAAAAAAACGAAAGGAGGAAUAAGCAAAAUGAUGUCCAAGGAUUCAAAAUUGUUUACAGUAAUUGGCCAGAAGCUAGAUCAAUUUCAUGAAAAUAUUUAAUUCCCCAAAAUUAAGAGUAAGUUUUUCCCAACAAAAUUGUUAUUUUUUUAAUUCCCUUAAUCCUAUGGGUUCAAGAACAAGCCGAGUCCAGUACGACUCGGCCGAGUCGGAUAGACUCAUACUCAAUCAGGAAUCGCUUAAACUCGGUUAACUCAACGGAGAUUCCGAGUUGACUCGGUUGAACCGUUCGUGUUAACAAAAGAAAUCGUUUUUUCACUUUCGAAUCUCAGCAGAGGAACAACAAACGAGAUGUAAACCUAAAAAACCUCUGAAAAAUCAAAGAUUGUCUUCAAAAGGAAAAGUUUCUCAACAACCAUGAUGAAGAGGAAGAAAGACAUCAGUCUAACCCAUGACUGAGUCUUGGAGGUGCACAAGAAGAAGAGGUUGAGGUAUUACUAACUUCAGAACAAUCAUGGAUGUGGAGCGCCUUCGAUGGUCCCGGUGUGGUAACUGGUGUGAUGAGAAGAUUCCCUCCAUUGACGUGAGCGGCCAUCGCUGCAUCUGGUCUCUCCUCUCUCUAAUUUUGGUCUCAGUUCUCGCCUGCUUCUGUCUGCCUCCCUCCCUCCCUCUCUCUCUCUCUCUCUCCCUGGUACGGGUGAGUUAGUGAUUUGAAGAAAGGGUGGCAAUCGGUGCCAGAAAAUUGGGGAUUUGAAGACAGGGUGGUCAAUGUUUUAAUAUCAAAAUUAUUUAUAAUUGUAUAUGUUAAUAUUAGGUAAUAUAGUAUCAAAUUUUAUAGUCUUUGUUUUUUUUUAUGAUAAUAAUUUAUUAUUUUAUAUAUUAAUGGUGUGAUAUAAAUUAUAUUAGCUUAAGUAAAGUAUUAUUUUAUAUGGCAAUGAUAGCAUAUUUGAUGUAUUAAUUUAUUAUUAACAAUAUAUUCAAGUCAUUUACUAUAUUAUUAUAUUAACAUAUUAAAAUCAUUUAAUUAAUAAUAUAUACUUUGUUUAAUAAAUAUAAUUUUAUAUUAUAUUUAAACAUAAAGUGUUGUAAUCAUUUAAUCAAAAAUAAAAAUAAAAUUAAUGAUUGAAUUAUAUGUCUUUUAGUAAAAAUAUCAUUAUAGUUGAAAUAAAAUAAUUUUCAAUUCUUAACAUUAUCAUAAAUUGUUUUUGUGGAGACUUUAUAACUAUUUAAAUAAUAUUAAAUAUGAGAAAAUUUUAUUUUAUAAUUUUUUAGCUUAUUUAAUUAUAUUUGUUUUUCUAAAAAAUUUCAAAAUAUUUUUGUAAUUUUAAAAUUUUUUAGUUAUCUUAUUUUGCAUACUGCUCUAUACCAAGUCGAGAUGUUGAGACCGUUAUGCCUUGGGACCCUCCAAAUUAAUGAUUGAUAUCGUCACUUCAAUUAUAUGAAUAUAAAAAAUAAAUAUGUAAAGAAAUACCAUAAGACAUAAUAAUAGUAUUUUAAAAUAUUUUUAGCAUAUUGAUAUAUAUAUAUAUAAUUAUUUAAUAGUUAUUAAUUAUAUUUAAUGGUUUAAAAUAUUUUUUAGUUUUUAAUUACUAUAUUUUAUGUAUCAAUCAAUAUCGCACUGACAUCUUAGAUUUAAAUAACGAAAAUAGUAUCAAUUUUUGAAAAAAAAAAAAAAAAAAAAGGAAAUGGUCUUUUAAGGUUAAAGUAUGAAUCUUUAGGUUUAGAUGUUCCCAAACCUUCAAUUCUAAGUGUUGAAGACGACUUCGAAGUUGUUGGAAGUCUUGUAAAUCUACGAUUUUCUAUCUGAUGAUUUAAACCUUGAUCUUAAUGCACUUUUAGUGGAGAUCGAUGGAAGAAAGGGUGGAAACUAUGAGUCUUUCUCUUUGAAGGUGGAAGAUGACUUUCUAGAAAAAGUUAUGGAAACUUUAACCCCAAGAUCGAUGUACCUUAAGACCUUUCAAGUCAAUGACCCAUAACAUAACUUUCAACCAUAAGAUGGACACUAAAAAAAAAAGAAUUAGAGUUGGAUUUGAACACAAACCUCUUUCAAAGAAGAUAAUGUACCUAUCAUUAUGGAAAAUUAUUAUUAAAUUUGGGUGGCAAAAUAUAUCUCUUAUAUUUUAACCCCUUCCAUAAGUGACUUUGCGUAGCCGUAAAAAGAAGAACUAUAGAAAAGAUGCCUUAGGUAUCUGCCGAUUAUUAACUAUAUCUAGUAAAAGAUCUUACACGGUGUUUGAAAAACUAUAGAAGAAGAUAAAUCUUGAAGGGGAGAUCAGUGGAAAUGGAUCUAUGACUCGCCACUCCAUGAUUUAUGGGCUGCUUAAACUUUGAUGAUGGGUUAUGGGUAGCAUGAAAAUUUCAGCCAGAGGGUGGUCUAUCAAUCUUGCUUGUUUCUUCAUGUUUUCACUUGGAAUUUGCUGAUGCAUUUAUAGAUACAAUCUUACAAGGUUAGUCAAUCACAACUUGUCAGACCAUUGUAUCUAUUGGUGGUGACUUUGAAUUAGGAUUCUUUUCUCCUGGAAACUCCACAAAAUAUUAUGUGGGGAUAUGGUACAAGAAAGUGUUAGAGCAAACCAUUAUGUGGGUAGCUAACCGAGGUUAUUCAUUCACAAAUCUGUAUGUGGUUCUUACUGUCAUUCCAGAUGGUAACCUCGAGAUUUGGGAAAGGAAAAUUUCAUACAAGGUGACGAACGUAUCGUCAAAUAGAAACACCAGUGCCACCCUGUUAGAUUCAAGAAAUUUUGUUUUGAGAAAUGAGAAGUUGGAUAUCUUAUGGUAGAGCUUUGACUAUCUAUUGGACAUGAUCUUGCCUAGAAUGAACAUUGGAUAUGACAGAAGGCUGGAAAAACAUGGUCAUUGGUGUCAUGGAAGAGCACAGAAGAUCCUAGUCCAGGAGUUUUUAUUAGAGAAUUCAUUACAAUAGAUUUUCUUGUUAGCUUUUUUCCUAUAAUGUGUGGCCAUAUACAAUUAUAUUUGUAUGAAUAUUAUUUAAGGGUAUCAAUUGAUAGGUAGGUGAAUAAAUUGACUGGACAUCCAAGAGUCUUGUGUAUGGAAUACUCAAAUUUAUAAAUGGGGAGUUAGAAAAUUUAACUCAUAUGAAUGUGGUGUUACAACUUUUGUAACCCCAUCAUUAUGAAAUUUAUUUGUACAUUAUGUUUAUGAGUAAUGGAGGAAAAUGGAAAAGUAUAACCUAUGCAAUUAUAUAGAUGCAUUCAAGUUCAUAACCUAUCAUUACCCAUUAAUUUGUACAUAAUAGGUGUAAAUAAUGAGUAUAACUCCCAUAUAGUCUUUGAUGGGAAGACUAAGAGAUGUACAAUUUUUUUUAUAAGUUGAGGUCCCAAGCCACACUCUCAUUCUUAUGUCUUUUUGUUGGUUUAUUUUUAACAACAUACACCACACAAGUGACCCAUCCACUUUAUGAGAGUAGUGAGUCGAAGACCUUGCCAAUCCAAUUCAUAAGGUGACUCAAUCUCACUUCAAAAGUGUUAUUGAUAUCAUGGAUCAAGGUAAGAAUAUGAUCAUUAUUUGAAUACUUAUAUUUAUUUUGUUUUAUGCAUCCAAAAUGGCUUUAUAAAAUAAUAAUUUCAGCAUAAAGUUUAUAAAAGUUUGGUUGACAUUUCUUUCUAUUUUUAAAUUCUUCUAAUUAGUUGUAAUUUCCUAUUUUUGUUGUAAUCCCCUAAUUUUAGGAUUGUUUCCUAUCUUUGUGUUUUGGGCUAAUUCUAGGAUUGUUUCUUAUUUUUGUGUUUUAGGUUUUGUGUAUAUAUAUUCAUUCUUAAUCAAUGGAAAAGUCAAGCCAUUGUUUCUUAAUGAUCCUCUCUCUGUUUCAACAGUUUUCUCCCUAGAGCAUGACCCUAAUGGAACUAGCCAGAUUUUAUCUUGCAAGGGAACAGCAGGUACUAGACUAGUGGCUUCCGGGAUGGGCAGGUUUUCAGCCUGCUUCUUGAAAUGCGUUUAGACAAUAUAUUGAAAUACAAUUAUUCCUUUAGUAAGGAUGAGAGCUAUUUCAAUUACUCUCUCUAUAAUUCUACCAUUAUAAGCAGAGUGGUCCUGGAUGUGUCAGGGCAGAUUAAGCAAAUGACAUGGAUUGAAGACACUCAUCAAUGGAAAUUGUUUUGGUCUCAACCCAGAACACAAUGUCAGGUUUAUGCUUACUGUGGGCCUUCUAGAAUCUGCAAUCUGGAUUCCUAUGAGUAUUGUGAAUAUUUGCCUGGUUUUGAACCUCGCUCCCCCGGAAACUGGGAAUUGCAAGACGGAUCUGGAGGGUAUGUGAGGGAAGCAGAUUUGCAGUGUGUCAACGGAAGUCAUGGUGAUGGGGAGAGAGACCAGUUUCUUUUGGUGUCUAAUGUAAGACUGCCCGAGUAUCCACUAACAUUGCAAGCAAGAGUGCCAUGGAUUGCGAGUCAGCCAGCCUGAAUAACUGCUCUUGCUCUGCUUAUGUUUAUGACAGCGAGGAGUGUACAGUAUGGAGUGGAGAUCUUCUAAACCUGCAACAGCUGUCGGAUUCUGACAGUAAUGCUGGAGAUUUCCAUCUCAAACUUGCUGACUCUGAGCAAAAUAGGAGAGGUAAGAAAAAGGGAAUGCUCAUACUAGUUGUUGUAGGACAUAAAGCAUAUAAAAUGGCUAUUGAUUCAGUUAAGUUAAAUGUCAUAUAUUUCCUUCUACAGUUUCAAGCAGCAAGUAGAAGCUAUGGCUCAUUGUUACACUAGCCAUUUCUGUAACUUUAGCCUUUGUCACAUUUGGAAUAUGGAGAAGGCUCCAAAGAAAAGGUCAGUAUUUCUCAUGGAUAGAAGAUGACCAAGCAAUUCAAGGCUAUUUAGAUUCCAUCAACACAUACAAAACCAUUUCUUGUCUGAUAUGAAUUCAUUACCAUUGUUGUAGAAUAAUUAAGUUCAUAUUAGAGUUUCAAUCUCCUGAUUACAGUAUUGAAUUAGCUUAUUCCCAUGCCAGAAUUCCUACAUUCGUAAGGAAUUUAGCAUCUGUUUGUUCUUUACCAAGCAGGGGAAGAUUUGUUACUGUUUGAUUUCAGUGACAACUCAGAAAAUACCAACCAUGAACUUAGUGAGGCAAAAAAGGUUGGAAAGGAGAGAAGAAGGAAGUUGAUUUGCCAAUCUUCAGUUUUGCGAGUGUAUCUGCUGCUACCAAUGACUUCUCUAUUGAAAAUAAACUAGAAGAGGGAGGUUUUGGACCAGUUUAUAAGGUGAGCUUAGUAUGACUAACAGUAAUGCCUCUCAGAAAAGAAAUGUGAAAAUUUUUGCUACUGUUCUACAAUCCCUCAACUGUAAAUGCCCAUUAGGCAAACACAAAUUUUCUUUUACUUGUGUGGUUGUUGUACUCAGUUGAAAUCCCCAUGACAAGGAAAGUCACAAAGAGGAUAUGAGGUAGUUGUGAAAAGACUUUCAAAAAGAUCUAGACAAGGUUGGGAGGAGUUAAAAAAUGAAACCAUGCUUAUAGCCAAGCUCCAACAUAAGAAUCUUGUUAGACUUUUGGGCUGCUGCAUUGAGCUAGAUGAGAAGAUAUUGAUUUAUGAGUAUAUGCCCAAUAAAAGCUUAGAUUUCUUCCUUUUUGGUUUGUAGUUCUCAACAUAUCUAAACUUUUGUUUAUCCUAUGCUCAAUAAAAAGCUUUUUUCAUUCAUUGUUGUUGGCCUCUUAUUUACUAACACCAGUUUGUAUUUAUUUGGUGUAAAAUAGGGAUAGAUCCUGCAAGACAUGGGAUUCUAGAUUGGGAGACACACAUUCACAUAAUUGAAGGGGUUGCUCAGGGAUUUCUUUAUUUCCAUCAGUACUCUAGAUUGAGGAUUAUUCAUUGAGAUCUGAAGGCUAGCAACAUUCUUUUGGAUAUAGACAUGAACCCCAAAAUAUCAGAUUUUGGAAUGGCAAGAAUUUUUGGAGGAAAUUAGUUGAUAGCAACAAAUCAUAUUAUCGGGACUUGGUAAGUGAAUCCUUGCAAACCGUAAAAUAUGUGGAUUCUCACAUAACAUGGCCUUUCUUUUAUAUAUAUAUAUAUACAUUUUUGUCACAAGGCAACUACUAAAUGAUUUGUUCUAAUAAUGAAAUUCAGUGGCUACAUGUCCCUUGAAUAUGCUUUCGAAGGCCUCUUUUCAACUGAAUCAGAUGUCUUUAGCUUCAGGGUCUUGUUACGGGAGAUUCUAAGAGGCAAAAAGAAUACCAGAUUUUACCAGAGUGACUCACUCAAUCUUCUUGGAUAUGUGAGUAACACAAUCUACAAUGUUCUAAUAUGUUAAUUCUUGAUUUACUAGUCAGUAAAUUUUCACAUCUUGUUUACUAGUCAAUUUUAAGCUGAUGUUCUUUGCAUGCAAUAAAAAGGACUAUACAUCUGUUUUUCUUUUUUGGAAAUUUGCAUCAAGAGAACAUUUUCUUUUCUUCAGGCAUGGGAUCUGUGGAAAAACAACAUAGGGCUGGACUUGAUGGAUCCAGUAUUGAGUUGGGAGGCACGGGUUCACAUCAUUCAAGGGGUGGCUCAGGGGACUUCUUUAUCUCCAUUAGUACUCUAGAUUGAGAAUUAUUCAUCGAGAUUUGAAGACUAGCAACACUCUUUUGGAUAAGAACAUGAACAAAACAUAUAGUUGGGACUUAGUAAGUGAAUAGUAACACAUUGUAAACAAUUCAAAACAUGUUAAAACAUUAUCAUACUCAUUUUUAUGUGGAAUUUAAAUUUUUAAAAUUUAGUACAAAACAAUUUGCGCUUAUAGCUUUUUAAAUAAGAAAACUAUUAUAUAUUUUUAAAAUAAAAUAAUGCAAUUGUGGCAUGUGAAGAAAUUUUUAUUUUUAUGGAUAAAUAUAUUUUACAAAUUUUAUAUAAAUUUAUUUUUUAUUUAUAUAUAUAUUUUUUUCAAUGUUUUUAGAAUCAAAUCAAUCAUUGAAUCAAAAAAGUUAUUGGUCCACGAUUCAUUGGUUGGAUCGGUGGUCGAACCAUGAUUGAAUUAGUGAUGUUAUAAAUAAGUAAUUUAUAUAUUAUUAAAAUUAAAAAUAUUAUAUAAAAUUUUUUAGAUAUAUAAAAAAAUAAAAAUCAAUAAUAUUUAUUUUUCAUCUUUAAUAUUAUCAAAUUAACAUAUAGAUAUAUUAAUAUUUUAACAUUUGAUUAAAUAAUAUAUAUAUAUAUAGAUAAUAUUUAAAUAUAAAAAUAUUUGUUGAAGGUUAUUUAAUUUCCUUUAUAUAUGUUACACUAUUUUAUUUAUAUUAUUUACAUUUUCACUCUUAUUCAAAAUUUAUGAGAAUUUUAUUAUAUAACGUUGUUGUGUCUGGCAUGUAUAUAACACGCACAGCAAAGUGGUGGUGUGUAUGCGUUUUGAACCCAAGGUUAGUUGUUCAAACCCAUGAGCUGCAGCCCAAGAUAUGGCACAUCUUGCACUAUGUUUGAGCCCAUUUUACCCAAUAAAAAUAUCCAUGAAAGAAGAGAAAACUCAUGAGCGGGCCGGCAUUCCGGCCCAAUUAGGCUACCCGGACUGGAUUAGGCUCCAGUUGAUGGUUGAACUGGCCAAUCCAAAACAUUGAUUUUUUUAUCUCAAUAUUCGUAUCUUAUUUAUUUCAUAUAAACUUUGAAAUUAUUCAUUUAAAUAACAAUUAUCCAUUAUCCAUUUAAAACCAAUCAUCCUCACAUUUCCAAAUGAAAAGUGAAUAUCACAUUGGAUGCAUUGAAUUGUUGUUUCCCUACCACCACCCCUUUUAACUUCUCUUCACUUUGACAUCACAACUUAAAACUAUUUUUUUGGGAUGUUGAGAUGAGAUCAUGAGACAAGCGUUCAGAGGACGUGUUGAGAGUUUCUGAUAUCUUCCACGACAGCUAAGACCAUGAAUCUGAAGAGAAAGAACUGAAGAAGAGGGAGGAAAGUGAGAGUUGGUUACUCCCUUAGUUUUCAAAUUUAGAAUGGAUGAUGAAGAUGUCAUAUUACACAUCCAAUGGGUUCAAUAAAUUCUUGGGUACCUACACAGACUGUUUCGUAGAAUUUUCCUAAAAGAUAUUUUGAAAGGUAGAUCGAUGGAAAGGAGACUUUGACUUACCAGUCGCCGGGCCGCCUCAGAUCCGCUACUGCCUGUUUUGGAUGGCUAUAAUAUUAUUGAUGGGCUGCGUAAACGCUGCUUAUGAGUUAUGGGUAGCAUGAAAUUUUCAACGAGAAGGUGUUCUGCUAAUUAUCUUGUUUUCUUGCUUAUUUCUUCAGGUUUUCACUGGCAAUUUGCUGAUGCAUUUACAGAUACAAUCUUACAAGGUCAGUCAAUCACAACCUCUCAGACCAUCAUAUCUGCUGCUGGUAACUUUGAAUUAGGAUUCUUCUCGCCUGGAAACUCCACAAAUUAUUAUGUGGGGAUAUGGUACAAGAAAGUCUCAAACCAAACCAUUGUCUGGGUGGCUAACCGAGAGUAUGCGUUCAAAAAUCGGUCUGUGGUUCUUACUGUCAGGACAGAUGGUAACCUCGAGGUUUGGGAGGGGAAAAUUUCAUACAGGGUGACAAGCAUAUCAUCAAAUAGCAAAACUAGUGCCACCCUGUUGGAUUCUGGAAAUCUUGUUUUGAGAAAUGACAACUCGAGUAUCUUAUGGCAAAGCUUUGACUAUCCAUCGGACACUUUCUUGCCGGGGAUGAAACUUGGAUACGACAAAAGGGCUGGAAAAACAUGGUCAUUAGUGUCAUGGAAGAGCUCAGAAGAUCCCAGUCCAGGAGUUUUCUCCCUGAAGUACGACCCUAAGGGAACCGGCCAGAUUUUUAUCUUGCAAGGGUCCACAAUGUACUGGGCUAGUGGCACCUGGGACAGGGAUGGGCAGGUUUUCAGCUUGAUUCGUGAGAUGCGCUUAAACUAUAUGUUUAAUUUCAGUUAUUCGUUUAGUAAGGAGGAGAGCUAUAUCAAUUACUCUAUUUAUGAUUCUUCAACUAUAAGCAGAUUGGUGCUGGAUGUGUCAGGGCAGAUUAAGCAAAUGGCAUGGCUUGAAGCCUCUCAUCAAUGGCAUAUGUUUUGGUUUCAACCAAAAACGCAAUGUGAGGUUUAUGCUUACUGUGGGCCUUUUGGAAUCUGCAAUGAUAGUGCAGUUGAUGGAUUUUGUGCAUGUUUGCCAGGUUUUGAACCUGCCUCCCCUAAUAACUGGAACUCGGGUGACAAAUCUGGAGGGUGUGUGAGGAAAGCAGAUUUGCAGUGUGGCAAUAGUACUCAUGCUAAUGGGGAGAGAGACCAGUUUCAUCGGGUGUCUAAUGUGAGACUGCCAGAGUAUCCACUAACACUCCCAACGAGUGGUGCCAUGCAGUGCGAGUCAGAUUGCCUAAAUAACUGCUCUUGCUCUGCUUAUUCUUACAACGUGAAGGAGUGUACAGUAUGGGGUGGAGAUCUUCUAAACUUGCAACAGCUAUCAGAUGACGACAGUAAUGGUCGAGAUUUCUAUCUCAAACUUGCGGCCUCUGAGCUAAAUGGGAAAGGCAAUAAAAGUAGGGAAUGGUCAAACUUUUUUUUGUAGAAGGACAGAGCAUAUGAUUUUCUUUUUCUUAAAUAUAAGAUGAAGUUCAUCAAAGAUUAGUUACAUUUAUUUCUUUUUGCAGUUUCUAGCAGCAAGUGGAAGGUGUGGCUAAUUGUUACACUGGCCAUUUCCCUAACUUCGGCCUUUGUCAUUUGGGGGAUAUGGAGAAAGAUCCGAAGAAAAGGUCAGUAUUUUUCAUGGAUAGAAGAUUAUCAAGCAAUUCAAGGGUAUUUAGAUUCCAUCUACACAUACAAAACCAUUUGUUUUCUGCAAUGAGCUCAUUACCAUUAUUGUAGAAUAAUUAAGGCCAUAUUAUGAUUUCAACCUCCUGAUUACAUGUGUGUGUACCUGCACUACAGUGUGAUAAAAAUCAAUAAUGAAUCAAUUUAUUCCCAUGCCAGAAUUCCUACAUUCUUAUGAUACUUGACAUCUGUUUCUUCUUUAUCAAGCAGGGGAAAAUUUGUUACUAUUUGAUUUCAGUAACAGCUCAGAAGAUACCAACUAUGAACUUAGUGAGGCAAAUAAACUUUGGAGAGGCGAGAAGAAGGAAGUUGAUUUGCCAAUGUUCAGUUUUGCGAGUGUAUCUAUUGCUACUAAUAACUUUCUAUUGAAAAUAAACUAGGAGAGGGUGGUUUUGGACCAGUUUACAAGGUGAGAUUAGUAUUUGUGAAUCUUCUUGGUAUAUACAAUUUUUCUUUUACUUGGUGUCAUUGUACUAAGUUGAAAUUCCCAUGACAGGGAAAGUCACAAAAAGGAUAUGAGGUAGCUGUGAAAAGGCUUUCAAAAAGAUCUGGACAGGGAUGGGAGGAGUUAAAGAAUGAAGCCAUGCUUAUAGCCAAGCUGCAACAUAAGAAUCUUGUGAAGCUGUUCGGCUGCUGCAUUGAGCAAGAUGAGAAGAUAUUGAUUUAUGAGUAUAUGCCCAACAAAAGCUUGGAUUUCUUCCUAUUUGGUUUGUAACUUCUGGCUACUGUAUAUUCAAUAAAAAACCAUUCAGUAUCAUUCACCACUUAUUUGCUAACAUGAGUUUAUAUUUAUUUGGUGUAAAAUGGAAAUAGAUUCUGCAAAUCAUGGGAUUUUGAAUUGGGAGACACGGGUUCACAUCAUUGAAGGGGUUGCUCAGGGUCUUCUUUAUCUACAUCAGUACUCUAGAUUGAGGAUUAUUCAUCGAGAUUUGAAGGCUAGCAACAUUCUUCUAGAUAAGGACCUGAAUCCUAAAAUAUCAGACUUUGGAAUGGCAAGAAUAUUUGGGAGCAACGAAUCAAAAGCAACAAAUCAUAUAGUUGGGACUUAGUAAGUGAAGCCUAACAAAUUCUAAAAUAUGUGAAUGCUCAUACAACUUUUUUUUUUCUUUUUUCUGCACAUAUAUUUAGAAUCAUGCAGCUACUAAAUCAUUUUGUAAUUAAUAAUCAAACCCAGUGGCUACAUGUCCCCUGAGUAUGCUUUGGAAGGCCUCUUUUCGACUAAAUCUGAUGUCUUUAGCUUCGGGGUUUUAUUACUAGAGAUUUUGAGUGGCAAGAAGAAUACUGGAUUUUACCAAAGCGACUCCCUCAAUCUUCUCGGAUAUGUGAGUAACACAAUAUUUCCUCAUUGGUUGUCUUGGGCUACUGGUAAAUUUUCACAUUAUGUUUACCACACAGUUUGAAAACUUAUUUCAUAUGAUUGGCUACUAUAGAAAGGACUUUAUUAUCUUUUACUUUUUAGGAAUUUGCUUCAAUGGAUAAUUUUCUUUAUUUUAGGCAUGGGAUCUGUGGAAAGACAGCAGGGGGCAGGAAUUGAUGGAUCCAGUGUUGGAAGAGGCAUUGCCAAGACACAUUCUGUUGAAGUACAUCAAUAUAGGCCUUCUUUGUGUUCAAGAAAGUGCAGAUGACAGGCCUACGAUGUCUGAUGUUGUCUCAAUGCUUGGCAAUGAAAGUUUACAUUUACCUUCUCCAAAACAACCGGCAUUUUCAAAUCUGAGAAGUGGGGUGGAACCACAUAUAUUUCAAAACAGGCCUGAAAUGUGUUCCUUAAAUAGUGUGACACUUUCAAUUAUGGAAGCACGAUAAUGGUUCAGAACUUAAUAAAUAAUGUGCUUAAAUUUCAGCAUAUUGUCUUGCGUUGUUUUUGUGAAUUCAUAGCUCAUGUAUUGAAAUGGACAUGUAAUCUGUGUGAAUUUUUCUUCCAAAACACUUCAAUAAUCAUUCAGACCUGUGUCUAAUAUUUUUAUCUGAAACUGUUAUGAAGUCUGAUUUUAUCCAGUUGAAUUUGGAUUUAAUUUGAUUAUGAUCUGUACCCUCAUCAAUCCAAAGAGUGAAGGACAAUUUUCAGAGCUCAAAACCAACAAAUGGCACCUUUAGGGCCAAUCCAGCUAUAGAGAGUCAACUAUCCACCUUCCACUUAUUCUCUUAUAUGUGUUUCCAAAUGCCCUGGCAUAUGUAUAGCAUGUACAGAUACAGUUCUGUACUACUGUAUAUUUACUACGAGACUGACUAAGUUCUACUGUUUUGACAAUAGUGCAGUGUAUAUAUCUUGCAAGAAUAUUCUAUGGAGCAUAAUUCCUUUGUGAAAUCAGAUGUUUCCAGCUAAGGAGUUGAUUGUGAAUCCUGUGACAAGAGGAACUCGAAAUAUUACCUCUCACUGAGAAUCCUGUGAAUUGAAACCUCCUUAACAUCUACCAUAUGAAAAUGAAUGAUUUUUUUUUUUUUUUUUUCUGUAAUUUUAUGUAUUAGCAUGGUAAGUGAAUUCAGUUUUCACUGGGCAUCUGAAAGAAGAUAAUUUGAAACAGUUUUUGGUAUGGGGAAUGGGGUAUGAGGACAAGAUGCUGUAAUUGAUGGAUAUGUCAGUGGGGAAAGAAAUUAUCAGAACCCAGGUGUAGGUAUUAACUUAGCUAUAAUGGGGGAAGGGAGUGAACAGAAGCAGGGUUAGCUUCAAUUUCAGAUUCAUAUCAUACAGUGCUUCAUUCAACUAGUAAUAGCGAAGACAAUUCAGCUACUCAGCAUAGGAGGGAGGAAUUAGUUAAGCAGUUGUAGAUUUUUCGCCUUCCAAAUCCAAAGUGAUUAGACAAUUUUCCAGAAAAAAAAAAGUGGUAUAACGUUUCCUGUGACUUAUAACACUUCCCAUUUGUUUGGACAUAGUUUGAGUAAAACCCCUUUGGUUGCCAAGAAAACCAAGGAAAAUGCAAAAGAGAAAUAACUUGAAGUCUACAAUUUCUGUAGUUUAUGAUGGAAAGCUCAAGUUCAAGCUCAAGUAAGGCUAAACGAGCCCAUUGAGCCUCUCUCAUCUCUACAACAUAGACUUCAAAAGCAAAAUGGGUGAAAUAAUGGUCAUUUAUGGGCCCCUGCGCUUAGCUUGGGGAUCAGUUUCAUUGAAUAUUUUAGGAGAGAGAACAUAUAUCAAGUCAAAAAGUAGAUAAUUACAAACUAAUUUUGCCGUCCAGCAUAGAAAAUCUAAUCCCAGUGGGGCCUCAAGUACAUGAAUUUAGUGUUCUUUCCAUAAUUCUUCUCAUUCUGGGCAUGGUCUAGAUUGAAGAAAGGUCCGAUACAAAUUGGAAAAGUCAUAGAAGGAAAUAUAUCUAGGAGGGAAUCCUAACAAAAGGUCUUUCAAAACUGCUACACCUUGCUUUGAAUGGUAGUUGGUCUCUGCAUUGAAUGAGUUUUUUUUUUCCUAUGUACCCUGGAGACAGAAAAUCUGAAAACAUUUCUAAAUGGUUCUCCAAAAUACAGUGCAUGGGAGGUUCCAAGACUUUGAGGGAAAGAAAAGCAGCAGAACCAGCUGGGGAAAAUCAGCAUGAAAAGGAUCAUUUCCUACCACUCUAAUGUUGUUUAAUCUAUUCAACCACGGAAAUUAGGAAAGACUUUGACGAAAAUGAUGCGAUCGCGGUCAAGUUCUGCUACCUGCUACAUUGAAUUAUGCUUAUCUAGGGAAGAUGCAUUAAAGUCUUAGAGCAUUUGAGAUUUUUUUUUUCUUUUUUUCUUUUAAGACACAAUUAAUUGUCCAUAAAUUAAUAGAUUGGGAACAAGGAAAAUCAAUUAAUUAAGUGAAUAUUAAUUGUGUAUUAAUUAAUAAAUCAUUAAUUUAUCAAGAUAGUUCUUAUUUUUUCAAAAUAUUGUAUUUAAUAUUAUUUAUUAUAAUUGUUUGGAAGUGUCCCAAUUUCCUAAUUAGUAUAAAUUUAUUUUUUGUAAAGAAUAUUAUAUGAAUAUUUUUAGGUUAAUAUAUUAUUGUAAUAUUAGAUUUUCUUAUAGGGUAAGGAAGGUUAUUGGAAAUAUCUUUAUACAUAUUCUAGGUCAUGAGGAGAAAAAGUUAUGAGAUGGAAAUGGGUAUGUAAAGAUUAUACGGGGUAAAUAGAGAUGUGAGGAAGAACGGGAGGUACUCGGUGGAGCGAGAUGACUUGUGGUAGGGUAGGGAUACGAAGAGUAGGAAAACAUGAGAUGUUUCGAGAACCCAAUAAUUGUAUCUGGUUAUGUCCUCUAUAAUGUUUUGGUUCUAUCCUCUGUAAUGUUCUCUAUUGUAUAGUGGAAUGAUUCUCUCUCAUCUGUGGACGCAGACAUGGUUGGCCAGAUGUGAUGAGGGAGCAGCAACACCACUCUUCAUCUCUGAACUAGACUGUGAUGUAGACUUUGGGAUGGAUCUUGACCCCAACUCAACCUCCACCUGUGUGCUUGAUUUUUGUUACUCUUUAUCACAAGAAUCUCUAAAAGAUGAGUCAUGAAGCAUAGUAGUUUCAUAAAAAAUAACAUCUCUAUUGACCAUGACUUUCUUGGUUUUUAGACACCAUAGCUUAUAUCCUUUAACACUAGAAUUAUAGCCAAGGAAGACACAUUUUAUAGACCUAGGUUCUAGUUUUCCAUUAUCAACAUGAGUAUAGGCAGGACAUCUAAAUACCUUCAAAUCAAAGUAACUAGCAGGAGUACUAGACCAAACCUCUUGUAGAGUUCUUUUGUUAAUAGUAGUUGAGGGAUAACGAUGAAUGAGGAAACAAGAUGUAGCUUUAGUCCAAAAAGACUUAGGUAAACCAACAAUGGAAAGCAUACAAUGUACUUUCUCCAUCAAAGUCCUAUUCAUUUGCUCUACCACACCGUUUUGCUGCGAGAUAUGACGAACUAUAUGAUGCCUUGCGAUUUCUUUUGACUUGCAUAGAUCAUUAAAUUCAUAAGAACAAAACUCCAAGCCAUUAUCAGUGCGAAGACGUUUUACCUGCUUCCAUGUCUGCUUCUCAAUCAUAAUCGUCCACUCCUUGAAUGUAGCUAACAUAUCACUCUUUUUCUUCAAGAAGAACACCCAAACUUUUUUGGAAAAAUCAUCAAUGAUAGUUAACAUAUAACUAACACCUCCCUUAGAAGGCACCCUAGAUGGUCCCCGAAGAUUAGAAUGUAUAUAAUUGAGUGUCCUCUUUGUUUUGUGAAUGUCUUUUGUGAAUUUGACUCUUCUCUGCUUCCCAAAAACGCAGUGCUCAUAGAACUUCAGUUUUCUAAUACUCUGACCAUUAAGAAGUCCGCUUUUGCUCAAUUCAAUCAUCCCAUUCUCACUCAUAUGCCUAAGGCGCAUAUGCCAAAGUCUAGUAACAUCACCAUCUAAUAAGGAAGAAGUAGCAACAAUUACAUCACUUAUAACUGUGGAUCCCUACAAGACAUAUAAUUUGGUAGAUCUUUUCUGCCAUUUCAUCACAACAAGAACACAUUUACUAACCUUUAAGACUCCACCUUCACCAGUAUACUUGUACCCUUUUGAAUCAAGAGUACUCAAUGAGAUAAAGUUCCUCUCUAGAUUUGGAAUGUGUCUCAUAUCACCAAACAUAGAUGAACAUUCAAGAAUAAAGAUUAGAAUUAGAUUUGAACCCAAACAUCAUUUAAAUAAGAGAUUGUAUAGGUCAUUAUGGAAGAUUAUUAUUAAAUUUGGCCCGAAAAAUAAAUCUCUUACAUUUUACUCCCUACUAUACUUACCACCAGCCUAAAAAGAAGAAAUGUGGGCCUAAUGAGGGGUUUUUUUUUUUUUUUGUUGAUAUUUUCCAUUUAUAUAACUAACUUGAACAAUGUUGUACCCUUAAAAGUAGAAAAGAUCCUUGUAGUAUUCUUUGGUUUAUUAUGGUUAUGUUUGGUUAUGAGAAAAUUUAAAGGAAAAUGUGAAGAAAAUAAAAUAGAAAAGAAAAAUAAAAGGAAAGAAAAUUAAAAAUGGGUUUAAAUUCAAUGAAUUAUUUUUAUAUGCUUCUCCAAAUUCAUUUCACUUUUUUUUCUUCAUUAUAGUAAGAUUAAAUAAUUUAAAAAUAUAUAAAAUUUUAACUAAUUUUAUUUUAUUUUGUAUUUUUUCAUAAUGAAACUAAAUAUAAGAAAACUAUUUUUCUUAACUUUUUUUUCUUAAUAUUUUCCGGAGACUAAAUAUAGCCUAGAUGUAUCUAGUAGAAAGAUCCAACAUGGGGUUGGAAAAAAAUCAUAGAAGAAGAUAUAUCUUGAAGGGGAGAUCAAAGGAUAUUAAAUGGGACUAUGACCCACACCUCCUAGAUUUAUGGGCUGCUUAAUGGAACAAACCAGAUUUUUAUCCACCAUAUUGAAUAUUGAAUAUGGUAUUCUUCCAAUUAUUAAAUGUAUUUAGCGAAAAGGUCCAAUUGUUAGUAAAAGAAGAACAGGUCAAACUAUCGUAUUAGGGUGCUAUGAGUGAGAUUGUGAUUACAUCAACUUUUAAUUAUUUAGAAUAUUGUCCAUUAUAUAUUUUAAAUUUUUAUAAUAUUAAUUUAUUUUAUUGAUUAAGAAUUAGAAUUUAAUGUAUACUUAACAUUAAAAUCUUAUAUAGUUCCAAUUUCAUACAAGUAACUAAAUUUUUUAUAUUGAUCUCAUCUCUGCACCCAAAUGCCCAUUUCCUCUUGAAGAUUAAAAAUUAAAAAUAAAAAUUAAUCCAUCUAACAACCAAGUUAAAAUGUAUUUAUAUAUCAUAAAAAAAUCAUCACCGAAUAAACCAAUAACCAUAAAAAUAAAAAUGGAAAAUCAUCGAUAAAUAAAUCAAAACAAAAUAUAAAAAGAAAUUAAUAUUUUCAUGGUUGAUUAACCCUAUGAGUUGGAUGAUAAAAGCGUUAAUAUCGAGUGGAAAGGAGACUUUGACUCACCGGUCGUUGGGCCUCAGGUCUGCCACUGCCUGUUUUGGAUGGCUAUAAGAUUAUUGAUGGGCUGCUUAAACGCUGCUUAUGAGUUAUGGGUAACAUGAAAAUUUCAACCAGAAGGUGGUCUGCUAAUCUUGUUUUCUUGCUUAUUUCUUCAGGUUUUCACUGGCAAUUUGUUGAUGCAUUUACAGAUGCAAUCUUACAAGGUCAAUCACUCACAACCUCUCAGACCAUCGUAUCCGCUGGUGGUAACUUUGAAUUAGGUUUCUUUUCUCCUGGAAAGUCCACAAAAUACUAUGUGGGGAUAUGGUACAAGAAAAUCUCAGAGCAAACCAUUGUGUGGGUAGCUAACCGAGACUAUUCAUUCACAAAUCCAUCCGUGGUUCUUACUGUCAGCACAGAUGGCAACCUCGAGAUUUUGGAGGGGAAGAUUUCGUACAAGGUGACAAGCAUAUCAUCAAACAGCAACACUAGUGCCACCCUGUUGGAUUCUGGAAAUCUUGUUUUGAGAAAUAAGAAGUCAGAUGUCUUAUGGGAGAGCUUUGACUAUCCAUCGCACACUUACCUGCCGGGGAUGAAGCUUGGGUACGACAAAAGGGCUGGAAAAACAUGGUCAUUGGUGUCAUGGAAGAGCGCAGAAGAUCCCAGUCCAGGAGAUUUCUCCCUGCAGGUCGACCCUAAUGGAACUAGCCAGAUUUUUAGCCUGCAAGGACCCAACAGGUAUUGGACUACUGGGGUGUGGGAUGGGCAGAUUUUCACCCAGGUUCCUGAGAUGCGUUUGCCCGACAUGUAUAAGUGCAAUAUAUCCUUUAAUGAGAAUGAAAUCUAUUUGACUUACUCUCUUCAUAAUCCCUCCAUUCUGAGCAGACUGGUGCUAGAUGUGUCAGGCCAGAUUAGGUCUCUGAAUUGGCAUGAAGGCACACGUGAAUGGGAUUUAUUUUGGCUUCAACCAAAAACACAGUGUGAGGUUUAUGCUUACUGUGGGCCUUUCGGAACCUGCACUCGGGAUUCUGUUGAAUUUUGUGAAUGCUUGCCAGGUUUUGAACCUCGCUUCCCUGAAGACUGGAAUCUGCAAGACAGAUCUGGAGGGUGUGUGAGGAAAGCAGAUUUGCAGUGUGUCAAUGAAAGCCAUGCUAAUGGGGAGCGAGACCAGUUUCUUUUGGUGUCUAACGUGAGACUGCCCAAGUAUCCAGUAACACUG